AAGGAGACUCAUAUUUAAGCGAAGAAGAAACAGGAAGGGCCCCUCUUUCCCCUCUGCUCCUGCUCCAGCGUCACGAUGUGAUCCACCAGCAAGGAGGGACGACAAUAAGGCAUCCGAUAAGAUAAGUCUUAUAAAAUAUAUAGAUUUAUGAUAAUUAAGACUAAGCUAACAGAUGAGAAGUCCUAGUCAUUGGCCAAACAGCUUUUUAUUAAAAAACAAUAAGAUAAACAUACACAGAAGUACUUCCCCCAUCAUAUGACCUUUGUGACGGGCUCCCUUUGUUUAGCAUAAUUUGUGAGGGUGAUUGCCUCUGUUGCUUACUUUGUAGAGUGCCUCAGAUCUUCCUGUGAAAUGGUGGGCCAUGAACAAGACCUAACACAGCUUGUCUUCCCAUCUGUUGAUGCUCACUCUCCCCUCUCUUCUUUCUGGCUAUUAUACAUAACCCUGCUCUAAACACGUAGGUUAUCUUUUUCAUUGAUUUGUUGUCUGUGUGUUUGAUUAGGUAUAUUUGUCUGUGUCUGUGCAGGUGCUCUUGGAGGCUAGAAGGUAUCAGAUCCCCCCCAUGCUGGAGUUACAGAGGGUUGUGAAUUGCCUGAUGUCAGUGCUAGGAUUGAACCCAGGUCCUCUGCAAGAGCAGUACAUGUUCUUAACUACUGACCAUCUCCUUAGCCCCACAAUUAUGUAUGUGAUUUUUUUCUGGACAUAUUCUUUCAUCUUUCUUAGUUAUACACCCAGGUGUGGAGUUGCAGGAUCAUACAGUAGCUCUGUGUAAGAGUUGAAGAAAGUGUCCAAGUAUUUUCCCCAGGUGCUUACAUCAUGUUACAAUACCACCAGCAAUGUACUAGGAUUUGUUAAUUUUUUUUUUUUUUUUUGCUUUGGGUUAUAAGGUGGGAACUCAUUCAGCCUUUGAUCUCAUGUUGGCCUCCAACUUUCUAUAAUGAUCAAGGGUAGCCUGGAAUGCCCAGACCUCUGGCCUCUUCUAACUACUGAGUUGUAAGAGCUUUUUAUAUAUUUUAGACCCACAUUCCUUAUCAUACAUACAUACAUACAUACAUACAUACAUACAUACAUACACACACACACACACACAUAUAUAUAUAUAUAUAUAUAUAUAUAUAUAUAUUCUGCAAUAUUUUCCCUGUUCUGUGAAUUGUGAUUUCCUUUUACUUUCUUGAUUGUAUGUUUGAAACACAAAUUUCUAUAAUUUUUAUUAAUUCCAAAUACACACACACACACACACGCACACACACACACACACACACACACACGUACUGAAUAGAGUCCAUGUCGCCCAGACUGGCUUUGAACUAUGUGGCUGAGAAUGACCUUGAAUUCUGUUCCUCCUACCCUCAGCUCCUAUGUGCUAGGAUCACAGGCAUGAACCACUAUGUCCACUUUUGUGGGGAAUGAGGGGUGGAAGCCAGGGCUUCAUUCAUAUGAGGCAAAUAUUCUACCAACCGAGUGACACCCGUCCUUCCGUUCUCCUUAUGUGAUUUGAGAAUUGCAUCUAAAAAAGUGAUUGCCUAUUCUAAGAUAACAAAAAUGUAUGCCUCUGCUUUCUCUAAAAACUUUUAGUUCUUAUUUUUUGUUCUGUAGAUCGUUUUGAGUAAAAAACAUGAGUGAUACAGGGUCCAACCACCCUGUGUGCUGUCCUAGAAAGUAAGCACCAGACUUGAGUCUGUCCUUUCCCUGUUGAGUGGCCUUGGGGUCCCCAUUGAAAGUCAGUUUAGCAUAAAUGUGAAGGUUUGAUUCUGGAUUCUCAAUCCUGUCCCAAGGAGGGAUGUGUCCAGCCCCGUGUCGACACUUCAUGCCUUAAUUCUUGUCUUUUUCAACAAAGCUUGUACUUUUUUUCUUAGAGUUAUUUUGGCUACUGUGGGUCCUUUGAGUUUCCAUAUGAAUUUUAGGGGUUAAGAAAUGGUAGUUGUUACUCUGGCAGAGUUUGUAUUGCAUAUGUAGGUCAGUUGGGGAACAGGCCCACCCUGACAGUGACAGGAGUGCAGGGCAUUUUUUGUUUCUUCCAACAAUGCUUCCUAGUUUUUCAGUAAGUUUCAUGCUUCUUUUAGUAUACUUAUCCAUCAGGACUUUAUUACUUUUGACUCUGCUGAAAAUAGAUUCAAACUGAGUCUUAACUUUUUCUAAAAUUGCAAUUAUUUUAUAACAAAGGCAUAAUGCCCUAAUGAUUAGAAACCAAUGAAAAUCUUCAUUUUAGUUUUGUGAAGAUCUGGGAAUCUCAGACCGGCAUUUUCUGUGGAUGUUGGUUCUGUCCUUUCUUUCUUCCUUCCUUCCUUCCUUCCCUCCUUCCUUCCUUCCUUCCUUUCUUUCUUUUUUUCUUUUUUGACAGGUUUCUCUGUUUAACAGUCCUGGCUAUCCUGGAACUCUCCUCACAGACCAGGCUAGCCUCGAAAUGACAGAAAUCCUCCUGCCUCUGCCUCCUGAGUACUGGGAUUAAAGGCGUGUGCCACCAUUGCCUGGCUACUGAGAAUGUUUUUAAAUGUCUGAAAUUGAUUUCAGUUUGACUGUAACAGUGUAGUCACUAACAAAGUUGAAGAAACUGGCCUCACUCUUAACUCACAUUCAGCACAUCUCAAAGUUAGAAAAGACAAAUUUGUUAUGCAAAACUUCUUAGGAUUUUAAGGAUAUGGCUUAACAAAAUAGAUGUUUUAUUGGAAAUUUGCUCAACAAUUUUUCUUCUUAACCUUGUGUAUAUAAAGCAAAUAAGAAAGAAGACCCUUUUGUACCCAUGAAGUAGGGAAGUAAGGGAGAUGGCUUCAGUAAAAAAGGGAAAAACACACAGUUGCUUGCUCCAAAUCUUGACUAUAGCUGUCUUAAGAGGAAGCACAGCUGACAAGGGGACCAGGCCCCUGCCUAGCCUUAGGCUGUGACAUACCUUUCCAUUGCAGGUUUGAACAGUCUCCAGUUUAAUCAUACCCGUGGACUCAAUCAUCAAGGCCCUUGGAGAUUUCCAUUACAAAUCUCAUCCAAAUACUUCCCUCUACCAUGUAAACCUGCACCAUGGAGAGCCGUUUGUUUGUCUGAUUAAUUUUUAGUUUUAAGUUGAUAGAACUUGUUGAUGUUAGUAUCUGGGACCAUUUACUGUUAUUAGUGAAUUGAGAUGUGUUUGGCUGUGACAGAUCCAAACAGUCAUUUAAAACGUACUUAAAAGAUCCUCCAACCAUAAAGCUAGUCUCUCUGGCCUGGAGAGAGGGCUCAGGGAAAAGUUCUUACAGCCAAGCCUGAUGAUGGGAGUUUGAUCCUUGGUACCAAUGUGGUAGAAUAGGACUAACUCCCACAAGUUGGCCUCUGACCUCUGCACACACCAUUGUCAGCCCCAUCAAGCUUUCUAAUACAUACAUACACACACAUACACACACACACACACACACACACACACACACACACACACACACACACACACAAAGUAAAUAAAUAAGAGUGCUUAACCUAAAAAUUUAAGAGAAGGAGUUAAGUCCCCUUAGGAAAUGCUAAUCCUGCUAAAAUCAAAGCUUCUGGAAAGAAAAAUCAUAGCUCCUCCCCAAUUCCCACAAGGCAAACAAGAGCUAUAGCUCCCCCCAACCCCCAUCUCAAAAGGUGAGCAAGAGCCCAGUUGCAAUGGAUGCUCAGAUGAGCUCUUGAAAAACUUAACAUUUUUCAUAACUCAGGCCUAUAUACCCUUACCUGAAGAAAGUAAAUAAGAGGGUUCAAAAUGUAUUAUGUAUAGUGUGUAGUGUGUGUGUGUGUGUGUGUGUGUGUGUAUGUGUGAUUCCUGCCAUCAUCAUCUUUGGUAUCCAGUAUGUUCAUGUAUGGAUUGAUGUAGAGGCAUAUGAGAACUCACAGCCAGAGUGUGUUAGAUAUUAUGUACAUCUUCUGACUAUUUUGACCAGGCUAUGUGGUCAUUGGUCCCAGGGAAUUAAUGUAGUUCACCGUUCUGUUGGAACCCACCUAACAAAUGCCAGUCUUUAAAACAAAACCCUGAAAAUCCAAUCCCUUCUUUCUAAACCUCGACCUUAAGUCUCACACAAUAAUUUGUAUACCUUCUUGUACCACUGUGCAAAGCAAACAAACAAACAAUCUAGCUAGGAUAACAUUGCAUCUUUAAGACAGAGGCAGACAUUGCCUUGGGGACCACUCUUAUGGUACACAAACAAGAAUAUAACCAGCAUGCUGAAGCUCUCUAAGAGAUGCCAUUUCACAUUCAAGAGAUGCUAAGCUCAUCUCCCAGGAAUGGAAACUGAGUCAACAUGAUGAAGAAGAGGUCACAGUCUUCUGGGUGUCCUGAUGAGAGCAAGCCAAAGGCUAUCUCCCACCUUGAAGAACAGAGCAAAAUGGCUGUGGCUGUAACCAAGAUUUUCCACAGAUGACUCUCUGUGAGGUGAAAUCUUUUUCGUGAUGACAUUUUCAUCAGUAGAAAUUCUGAGGCAAAUUGUUCAUCUGCUCAUCCCGCCAUGAGAGGCAUCACCAGAACCCUCAGCCAAUCUCUCUCUCAGCAGUCACUGAAAAUAGCCAGAUCUCAUCUGCUGCACCUCUUUGCAAGCCUGUCAUCCCUCGCAUGGCUCUGACAGACCCGUGACUUCCUUUGUACAGGCAUCUGUGGGCUGAGUAAUUCAGGUCUCACCAGUCACUGGUCAACAACUAGCAAGCCAUCUGAGGCCAAGUCCUGGUGGAGAAAAAUUACCUUUAUUUUAUUUUAUUUACCACUAUUGAGUAUCUAAGCACAUAGCAUGCAGUGAGGGUAACAACCCGUCUUUUCUGUAAUCUAGGCCAAGAGAGAGCACAAAGACAAACAUAUUCUGACUUCCAAUGUUUCUCAGACUCUAACAUCACCCAUUUAAUGCAGCCCAGUACUCAAGAGAACACUUCUUUCUCAAACGCUUGGUUUGUCUUAUGUUCAAGUUGCUCAGCAAGAGAAUCCUAGCGAAAACAGGAGCUCUGGCUAUGUGGAAUGUUGUCUUUGUUAGAAGGUCAGCUACCAGGUAACAUGAGGGAAUUCAUUCUACUAUCAAGAGUUAACCAUCUUUCAUUGCUCAGCAUCUUGUUGGGAUCGUGCUGGUCUGUCAUGUUACGGGAAGCCUACCUACUGAUGGGAACACACUUCUCUUUUAUGUGUGGAAACACUUUCGACAGUUUUCAGCAUAUGUUCGCUUACUGAACACUUGUAGGGAAAUUGAGUGACAGGCUUGGCAAUGGUUCUGUUAAAAUUUUAUCUGCAGAAAAUAAGAAUAGUGGUAGUUCCUCCUUAUUGGUCAUUUUAUAAUGAAUGUCUGUAUAUAUUGGUGACUGAAUACCGUGAUGACUCCAUGAUGAAGUUUUGGCUGACUUUAGUGCCAAUUUUACUUAUAUCACUAAUCAAGGGCAACAUUACUGAUUAUUGAGAAAUCUCUAUUGGCAAUUACAAUGUAUUAUUAAUGUGUAAACUUGGCUGGCCUGGAACUCACUAUGUAAACUAGGCUGACAUAUUAACAGAGAUCUGCCUGCUUCUGCUUCCCAAGGACUAAUCAAUGGCAUAUACCACCACAGCCAGCCCUUGAAAUUAAUAUUUCAAAGUUAUUUAAAUAUCAUUCAUCUCCUUAAAAUUACCCUGAUCACAGAAGCAGCCGCUUACUAAUAAUUUUAAAUGUUGAUUGGAAUGAAUAAAUGAAUCACAAAAAUGAAAUUAUCUUUAAAGCACAAUAUGAAGUAAAAAUGUAGAGUUUAAAUUGUAGCUUUUUUUUGGUUUUUUGAGACAGUCUUUCUUUGGAGCCUAUCCUGGCACUCACUCUGGAGACCAGGCUGGCCUCAAACUCACAGAGAUCUGCCUGCCUCUGCCUCCCGAGUACUGGGAUUAAAGGCGUGCACCACCAACGCCUGGCCUAAAUUGUAGCUUUUAUUUACUCAACUUACAAUAUGUGUGUGAUUAAAGCAUCAAUUUUACCCUAUAAGCAUAUGCAAUAAAAUUUAAAGAUAAAAUUAUAGCUAUAAUGUUGCUGCAAAUAUAGAAAACGUAAAUGUUCACAUCGACAGUGUUAAAAUAUACCACAAAUACACAGAAACGUUGACUUUGUUGUGCAAUAAAAUUGAAAGGAAUGCUCCAACAGAUCCAUCUAAAGCUCAGUGCAACAAAAGACAUCUUAUAACUGAACCAUCUAAUUAUACCCAAAACUAGAUACUUAAGAUUCUGAGCUAAGGGGCCAAGUUGGAGCUCAGGGGUUGGCUAGCAUACCCAGGGACUUAGGUUCAGUUCUCAGUACUGGCUUUCAAAACAGAUAAAAGAAAAAAUUACCAAGUAAGAAAACAAUAUAGCAAAGACUCAAACCUUGCUCUGAAGAUGUCCAUCUGUAACCAAGACCUGUGAAAAAAGUGGAACCCACAUGGGCUGCUCUCUUUGGGUAAAUGAUCCAUCCUAUAUUGUAGAGUUUUAAUAGGUUAAAGUAAGGGACAAUGGACAUGGCUUAAAAUAAAAGCACCUGAGUUAUAUAGACCCCAAACAUAAAACAUUUAACUGUCAAGGCUGAAAAGAAAGAGAGAGGAAGUUGUAAUCACCUCCAAUAUGAUUCCUGCCAAAAGGUAACAAGUGUGACUCAAUUACAGAAAAUAAAAGGAUCUGAUCAUAAAAUAAUAAGCAGAUAACUAAAUACUGGAAAUUUUCAAUAAAAAUAGAAAUGCCAGAUUUUCUUGACAAUUUAUGAAUCCCUUCUCUUUAUUUUUAAAUCUCUCAUAAUCUUUUAACAUUUGUGAAUCCCAGUUUUGACUCUGGAAAAAAAUAAUCCAUCGUAAGCAUCUGCUCUAUCAUCGAAAGCUGAGAAAAUUCCAGAAAUAAGUCAGAACUACUGUAGUCCCAUCAGAUCUGGGUGGUCCCCAAUUUAGUGAUCUUGACAGUUUUGAUGAGUGCUGUCACAAUUUUCUCUCUGUGUCAUUUUUUUUGUCUUUUUUUUGCAAUUUUAUUGAGAUAAUUGUGGGUUCAUAUGCAGCAGUAAGACAUGAUCUGGAGAGAUUCUGUCUCAGCCUCGGUUCCACGGCAGAUAAGGAAAUCCCACAGCCUGGGAGUGUUACAAAGAAAACUGGUUUAUUUGGGCUUAUGCUGACCUAAGGUGGAAAGACUGUAUCUGAUGUUGACCUUCUAGCUCACAGAGGUGUGAGGCAAAAUACAGUCUGUAAAGACAACAGAGAAGAGGAGAACAUGAGAAAGCAGCUUUUCUUUAGGCUCUCUCUCAACCUACUAACCCUUUAAUCCAUUAAUCACAUGAAUGUAUUAACCCAUCAACCAGGGCAGAGUCCAAGUCACCUGGAAGGGAACAGGCUGGUCCUGCCUUGUCAUAUCUUAUUGUAACACACAUUGUACUGGUAAGUUGUCACGUGUCACUGAAAAGGUCUGGGCAUUGUGAACUGAAAUUAAUAAUUCUUCCUUUUAAGUUGUUUUGGGUGUCUCAGUCACAGUGAGGCAACAGUCAGUAGUACACUCUAUUAACUUUCGGGGGUCUACAUUGGCUUUCUUCUCAAUAUGACAAAAGACAAAAGUCGUUGGGCAUUCACAAGAUGACUAAUAAGGUCCACCUGCUUGCAGCCAGAUUUUUCGUGGUUUAUUUCUUCAUUCAAAAUAAUAUUUACAGUUGGUUACUGAGCCCAUACAGUAGUCUCUAAGAAAGAAAACAAGCAUGGUCUCUGCUCUCAUCAGACUUACAGUCCACUGGACAGCCAAGGUGGGACUGACCACAAACCUGCUGGAAUCGAAUAAAUGCAAAAACCAGCUUUGUUCUUAAGAAGUUCAAAGCAGUUUCAUUACUUGCCUUUCCAAGUAAAUGGCAUUAAUUAAUCUGCUCCUUGUGCAGGUCUAGUGAAGGAACGUUGAAGUGCUCACAAAUUUGAUUCAAAGAGAAGCACAGAAAUGGUUCCUCACAGAUAUGGACCUCAGCCGAUGACACGGGAUUGUGUAGCAAAGUGUAAAGCAAGCAAUGCAAGGUGUUAUCUCAGGGACUCCCAAAUGCUUUACCUUGGCCUUUAGUGGUUGUGUUUGAUGAGGGACUCUAGUCACACAGUUCUCCCAGAAGCUCUGUGGUGGACUAAUACUUCAGGAGGAAUCUGUUAGGGAAAGAAUGGCAAUAUAUAUAUAUUCUGUGUGUGUGUGUGAUGUGUAUGUAUGACGUGUGUAUGUAUAUGUACAUGUAUAUACAUGUUUUUGUGUUUGGGUGGCACACAUGAUGAAUGCGUGGAGAUCAGAGGACAACCUGUGAUGUUGGUCCUCACCUUCCACCUUAUUUGAGACAUGGUCUAUUUUUUCUGAACCUAGUGUGUACACUAGAUUAGGUGAACCAAACUUCAAUGGAUUCUCCAAUCGCUCGCUGACUUCCACCUUCCCACAGGGACACUGGAAUUAUAGGCAAGCUUCACAGCAUUCAGUUUUAUAUGGGUGCUGGGGAUUUGAACUCAGAUUCUCAUGCUUGUAUGGCAAGUACUUUACCCAAUGACUCCAGUAAUUUAUAUCAUACAUCAAAAUUAAUAGUCUGACUGAAAUUUAAUAUCUGGAUGGUAAGUAUUGAUUAAUAGAAACUAUUGUCACUACAGGCAGGCUCAAGCAAAUCUUUAGGCCCAGACUGACUUAUUCUAAAUCUUAGAAUAUAUUUUCAGCUUACUCAUCAGGAAUAUCCUUUCUAUAAAAAUCAAUCUUCAACUUUGACUAUGCUUAGGUUGUUUUAUGAUAGGAUGCAUCAAAUUGUUCUAAAACUCCCACAAAUUCUUGGGACAAGGUUUUGAACCAGUUUCUUCAUGAAGGUGUUGAAGUAACUCAAAGUUGGUUCUUUUUUUAUUUUUCCUUUUUUUUCUUAGUAAAAACUGGCUUUUAUACAUACUCAGUUAUUGACUGCUGUGCACAAAUAGAAUAGCCCUCUCUGGGCUAGCAUACAAGUCAGGAUACUAAAUUUGUACAACAGAAUGUCAGCUUUGCCACCUGCACACCUGUUAUCGCAAGCAUAUGGCAUUCUCUUUAAUCAACAACACAAAAUAUAGGCAUCUCAGGCACUCCUCAGAGACUGCAGGCCCGCCUCCCAUCUAGCACUUGGCAAAAGCUAACUUACAACAUCUGAUAUUUGAAGGAGAAAUUAUAAUACAAACUAACUCCUUAUUCCUUUAGGUACCUAAGUUAAAUGUUUUUUUGCUUAAAUGUAAAUAUUUCAAAAACAAGGGAUCUCUAUGAGCCUCUUGCAGAAGGUCUUAUGCAAAGAUGAGUCACAAUCAAGGUAAAUACACACUCACCUGUGGGCUGUUUUGACAUUGCUUGUAAUUAAUUAUGUGAUAAUCACAUUUGAAGACCCAAAGUGAAAUAUAGAAAACUAGGAGGGCCUCUAUUCUCCAAAAAAUUAGGGAGCUACUAGUAACCCUCAAUUUUCUUAUCUUUGAACUAUUUUUUUAGUGAGAAAUAAACUUCAAACCUCUUAUUAUUUUGAGUGAUACAGAUUGAUCAAUAGUAAUCUUAAUAGUCAUUGUCUUGCUUGAUUUAUGAAAUAAUCUGUAUCACCCACUACAUGCCUAACAUUGUACUAAACACAGAGGAAUAAUUUAUAUGACUCCUGUUCUCAAAGAAAAAGGAAUUGAUUUGAAAAAAAUGCAAGCAGCAUAUGCCAUUCUUAAUUGUACAGUAGCCACAGUUAACAAAAAUCAAUGGCAAUAGGUAAGCUUAUUUAGGUAUAUUUUACUUUCUCCAUUAUAUAGAAAAAUGUGAGCCAAGCUCUCCAAACCACUUCCAGUGUCAUUUGCCUUUUCUCUUUAGAUCUGAAAUUCACCUGCUGUUGGUUUCUGUGCAAACUGUAAAAUCGGCCCAGUUCUGUAUAGUUUAGCAGGGUGUCAGGGCAGCUUUUUAGAUGCUCGUCCUUCCUCACUGCCCGCCCCCCCAGCCAUUUCUAACAGCCUGAGUGUCCUUAUAUUUAUUGUUUCUAGUUCUGUGUUUGAUCCAUUGCUCUAGCAUAGCAUCACAGGGAUUACUUAACAGUUUCUUACACUAAGAUAUUUGGUAGAAACAGGAUUCUCAAUACUUUCUUCUCCAAAAGAUUCAUUUUUCUUGACCUCUGUCGUGUCUAUAUAAAGUUAGCUUAUUUUUUCCCUGAAAAAGAUAGCAGAAGAGAGUGGGAAAAGUCUAAACUUUUAAAACUAUGAUGAUGAUGGUGGUGGUGAUGAUGAACAUUGUGGAUGUCUUAGGGUUACUAUUGCUCUGAUGAAACACCAUGACUUAAAGCAAGUUGGGGAGGAAAGGGUUUAUUUGGCUUGUACUUUCACUUCCACGUCAUAGUCCGUCACUGAAGGAAGUCAGGACAGGAACACAAGCAGGGCUGGAACCUGGAGGCAGGAGCCAAUUCAGAGGGCAUGGAGUGGUCCUCUUUACUGGCUUGCUCCUCAUCGCUUGCCCAGUUUGCUUUUUUAUAGAACCUAGGACCACCAGGCCAGGUAUAACACCACCUGCAAUGGGCUGGGCCCUCCUGCAUCAGUUAUUUGAUGAAAUGCCCUACAGCCCAAUCUUACGGAGGCUUUCUCAAUGGAGUUCGAGCUGAUAUGAAAUUAUCCAGAACAGUGGAUGUAUACAUGCCACAGUGUGUGUAGAAUUCAGAGAACAACUCUUUAUCACUUCUCUCCUUCCAUCUAUGUGGUCUCUGGACAUCAAACUCAGGUCAGGAGACUUGUACAGGAAUCACUAUUUCCUCCUUGCCAGCCCAGUUUUCAGAUUUUUAGCUGGCAUUGUGAUUGUUUUCUAGAUCAUUUUGAAGAAAAUUGAUGUUUUCUAAGACUUAUUUUAGGUGUGUGUGUGUGUGUGUGUGUGUAUGAUAGCACAUGCCUGUAGAUGCUCACAGAUUCCCCUGGGUCUAGAGUUACAGAUGAUUUAGUAGCAGCCUGACAUGGUGCCGGAAACUGAACCUAGGUCCUCUGCAAGAACAGUACCUGUUCUUAGCAAUUGAGACAUCUCUCCACCUUGGAAACCGACAUUUUAUAAUAUAUAACUACAUCAUCCGUGUAAAAAUUUCAGAUUUUAAAACUCUAUUUAAGAAUAAAAUUUUAAAUUUUUUAAUGUAUUUUAAAACACAUUUCUAAAUCCAAAUAUAACAUUCUCCUGACAUCAUAAUGGGUCAUGUUAUUUAAAAUUUCAUUAUUUGUUCAUAGCCUGUUUAGCUAAAUACAGUUGCUUUCUUAAUCUAAUUUAUAAAUCCAAUAAUUAUCCACAGGUCUUUUUGCAUGUAAAAUUAAUUAUGACAUUUGUGAACAAAUAACAGUUUGUUCCCCAUUCCUAAACAUACACUUUUUUUCUUGCUGACAGACCAAUGCUUGUUCAUCAUUGUAUUCCUUUCUUCCAUACCCCUCUUGACAACUUGUUUUCUUUAUAGAAAUCUCUAGGCCUUUUACAUGUAGUGUUACUAUUCAUGGACUGGGGUUUGUGUUGAAGUUUAUGUUUGGAUUAUGUCCUUCCUGUUUGUCUCAACUCUUCUAUGCUAUAUUUUCUCUUCCCUAUUACAUUUUGAUUGAUCAAUGUCUCCACUUUAAUACUCCUUUUUACUAGAUUAGUUCCUAUGGUUUUAAUUAUUUCCCUAGAAAUCACAGUAAGACCUUACUGUAUACAAAGGUCAAAUGUUACAUAAUGAACACACUUCUCUUGAAGAAGCUCAAGAAUGCAGACACUCCAGCUUCACCUGUCUCCCCUGAACAUGUGUUACUUCACUCCAGAGUUAAUUUUAUGUCUAUGGUGAUCCUCUGAGCAGCUUCCGCAAAGCAAAGCUCCCAACAAUUUUUUGUAGAUCAGCAAAGACUCUAGAGAUGAAGUGUGUUUUGCUGUUACGUUUACUUCCCUGUGUCUCUGCAUUUUUGCCUUCUUGUGGUCUUGAUCUAAAGUUUUACCCUUCUUUUCAUUGAUUUUUUUAAUGUCUUGAAGUAUUUCCCGAACAGCUAAAUAGAAUGCAAUUUGUUGGUCAUAGAUCAAUCUAAAAUUAACCCAAGCUAAAGGUGACAAGACCUGUAACUGGAAAGAUGACUUGGUGGUUAAGAGCCCUGACUGCUCUUGCAGAAGACCCAGGUUUGGUUCCCAGCACCCAGACUGGGCAGAUCACAGCCAACCUGAACUCCAGCUUCAGGGGAUUCAACAGCCUCUGGCUUCCUUGGUCACCUGCACAUACAUAGUACACAUAAACUAAUGCAAGUAUACAUAAAUACAUCUAAAAUUAGUAAAUCCUUAAGUAAAAAAAUGACAAGACCUUGGACAAAGACAGUGAUGGCAUGUGUGGGAUGACAAGAAAACUCUAAGAGGUAAAAAGGAUUAGCUUAGACCUCUGGGUUCAUAUGAAAUUUGGGAGAUAAGUGUUUCUAUUAUAAUAAUAUAAGCCUUAAAUACUUCUGAGAAUUUAAUGCCAAGAAGAGUUUAACUCCUUACUUUAAUUUUUGUUCUUCUUUUCCCCAAGUUAAAAAAAAUAAUUUGUCCUUUCUCUGGGUAAGUUGAGCACAAAUGAAUGCUAAAUGCCAAGUUUAGCUCCAUUUUUGUAUUUUAAUUGACAAUGUUAUGUUCCUAAAUUAGUAGGGUUUAUGUAAUUUUUAAGUUAAUGUUUCAUAUAACUUUUAAUGUUUAAACAUUCUGAAUUAUUUUUUAAAACAAAUGUGAAAAGUUGCAAAUAAUAAGUUUUGAGAUUGGCCUGUUGGCAUAAUUCAAACAUGCGUUUUAAAUAUUCAGUUUUAGGUGGCACAUUUUAGUGACUUGUUCAAACACAAUAUACAUUAUGUAAAAUAGAUGCAUGAAUCUGAAGGAACCAGGUUGUGAUUUUCAUUUUAGCCCAGUUCUACAACUACCCUCCUGAGAAUUCUGCCCACGUGGGUAAAUGAGCACAUUCAAUGUCUUGAUUUUACUAGAGUUGGGACGAGGUAGCUGAGUGGUUAAGGCAAUGGACUGCUGAUUUUACUAGAGUACUUUUAAGGAAUAGGCUCACAAUGCUUUUCAUGAUUUUGUUUAACUAUUCUGUCCUUUCUCUUGAGAAGGUAGCAGUUGGCUCUCUUAACCCUGUGUCUUAUAGACACAUACAUGCAAUGCUCCCUUCUCCAUCAUCUUCAGGAUUUGUGCUUUGAUACCAUGAUAUUUGGUCCUCCUUGUGAAAUACUAAAGAUGAGGCCAGUUGGAGAAUUUAAAACAUGAGGUCAUCAUCUUCAUCUUCGUAAAUAAAUAAUUUCAUGGCUAUUGAUUUUCAUGAAAUCAGAUCUAUAGUAAAAGCCAGUUUGCCUCUGCCAGACUCCGCACACUCAGAGUAUUCUCACCAGAGUCAAGCCCUCGACUUUGAAUUUCCUGUUAUUUAGAACCUUGAGGUUAAUAAAUUUUUUUUAUUUUUGAGACAGAGUUUCUCUGUAUCUUUGAAGCCUGUCCUGGAACUCACUCUGUAGACCAGUCUGGCCUCAAACUCACAGAGAUCCACUUGCCUCUGCCUCUUAAGUGCUGGUAUUAAAGGCCUGUGCCACUACUGCCUGGUGAGGUUAAGAAACUUACAUUAUGAUAAAUUACUCAGUCUCUGAUAUUUUGCUACAAUACAAAAAAGAGGAAACACAGGCACAUGAUUAUGCUAAAAUUGCUCAAAUAGAAUUUGACACUUAUUCUUUUGAGUAACUUUUUUGUUUCUAUUAAAGUUUAUAGUUGCUUUAAUUACUUUCUUAAAUGGUUUUAUUUUUUGAGAAUUUCAUCAAUAUAUUUUAUAAUAGUGGCACCACAUUUUACCCCUUAACACUCCUACAUAAACCAUAAAAUAAAUCUUUGCAUUAAUAAACUAUAAUGAAUUGCAACCAAUCCAUUGUUUUAUUUCUUGGAGCUAUUGCUCUUGAAACUCCCUUUCUUCCUGGUUGGAUCUAAACUCCAGGCCUCUUAAGCCUAUUGCUCUACUUCCAUCUGGGGUUGUCUCUACACUUUGACACUGGCAUCAUCAACUUCUCUUCCAUCUGGGAUUGUCUCUACACUAUGAUACUGAUACUAUCUUUAUUGUUAUGUAGUGACCUUCUUGGCCUAGAGCCUACUGCAGUCCUGGCCUGGAUGACUGAACUCUUCUACACUGGUUUCCUUUCUUGCCUGGAGCAAGCAUAUCUUCUUGUUGCACUAUUAUAGCAAAUACUCAAAAGUAGAACUUGAGAAUUUAUAUAAUCUUAACUGUCUUUAGUUCUUUUGCCACUUGAUCAGUAAUAGCUUCAUUCUCUGGAAUUCUGGGUUGAACCAAUCCCUCUUCAAACCUAUUAGCUAUCAUCCUGUUGUAUUAUAGCUUUUAAUUUUACCUUUAAAACCAAGCCUGAGUGAGUUGAAGAGGCCUAACUUAACAUUAGUGCAGCUAUGACAGGCUGCAGACUAACGGUAUUGGGACCAGACAUCACCCUUACAAUAACCAGGAAAAAACCACAAACUGUACACUGCAGGGGGAGGGGGCAAUCAGGAUUGAGACAAACAAGUACUAGAUGUUCCAGAACAUUAAGAAAAGCUUACCUAACUUGUAUAUAGGUUGCCAAUCUUCUUGCAGCAACACCUGCACCAAUCCCUGUUUCACAAUACUUCUGUUGCCCCACUCUGCCUAAUCAGGAGUUCAACCCCCAUCUGAACCUAGAAUUCCCCUACCCUGCUUCCUUUACUCCUUAAAAACCCUGCCAUAACUGAGCUCAGGUCUCCAUAAUCCAACUGCUGUGUCAGAGAAGACAGAGGGGCCAAGCUUGAGCUUGCAAUAAAGGCUCUUUGCUUAUGCAUACAGACUCAGACUCCUGGUGAUCUCUGGGACGAUUCAUGACAUAGGCAUAACACAUAUGAGUACAGACACCAUCAGUCUUCAAAACCCUUAUCUCUCUAGAAUUUCACUCCCUAUUCAAAUUCUGAAAUUUCAAAGUAAUUUGAUUUGAUGUGUGUCCCCACACCCUGGAGUCAUUUUAGCCUACAAAUGCAUAUUCUUUGAUAUUUAGCAUUUUUCUUGUACAUUUGAUUGGCAAUGCAUCCCAUUUCUUUUUUCCCUUUAUUAUUAGAAUGUUUUUACUCUCUUUAAAUGUGGUUUUUUUCUUUAUUUAUAUAUUAAUGUUGUGUGAUGUUUUGUUUUCUGACAAAUAAAGCUUGCUUGGAGAUUAGAGGAUGGAGUUAGCUACUAGUUAACCAUAAAGGCUGGGCAGUGGUGGCACACUCCUGCCUUUAAUCCCAGCACUCAGGUGGUGGAGACAGGUAAUGGUAAGUUGGAGUAUAGACAGGAUCUUGGCUGUUUUUGAAUGGAGGAUUCAGACAGGUAGAAAGCAACUGGUGUUUCCUCCUGGUUCUUUGAUCUUUCAAGUCUUUACCCCGAUAUCUGACUCCUUUAUUGAUAAGACUAAUUAGAAUCAUGUUUCAUUUAUGCUCUUUAUGAUCCUCUCUGAGAGGUUUACUCAGAUUUACUUUUCCAAGUUUAUCUUUUAUUCCUUAGUUUUAGUUCUAUUAACAUCAUUUCAAGAAGUAUUCAAUUCAAAUCCACAAAUGUUUAUGAAGCAUUUUUCAAAGUUACUUACUAUAUGUUGGCUGCUCAUGGGAUGAGAAACAAAUAUAUUUGCCAAUUCAAAAGCUAAUAACUUGCCAAUUUAUGAAUAAAUGUAUAUAAAACAAAACCAAUGCUAUUCAAGUCAACAGAUCUUAAAAGUAGAUAAGAAAAAGCCUUUAUCACUAUUAUUUUAAUUUUUAAACCAGAAAUUCAUUUAAUGAGAUCAGCAAGUUAAUUUUAAAAUAUUGCUGGUGACUAUAUACUCAAAAUCAACAAAUUUCUUACCCACAUUGACUCAACUCAUACAAAUCUUUGGUUGACAUUGGCCAAAUGAUUCUACUAUAUCUCAGAGCCUAUGAUGGAUGGGACAUAAAGUUUAGUUUUGGAAAAUAUAUAUUUCAUCUCAUUACAAUUUUGAGACCAAAUAAAGCUGAUCUUAAAAAGUACAUGUUUAACUACUGGCAUAUCCUCUGUGAGGAAAUCACACACUUGCCUUUCACCCUGGCUUUGAAAAAUAAUUUUCUAACCAAGGUCACUUAGAAGAUUAUUCACAUCUUAAAUCUGGUUAUAUAAUGGAAAAUGUCAGGGCAAGAAUGGAUAUUUCACAGUUUUGACUCAAAAUGUAUAGGGAACAUUUAUAAUGGAGCAACAUAAAAGAACUGUUUGACACAAACAGCAGGAGCCUAGAUCCACUUUUCCUUGCAUUGUAGAGUAGGCAAUGUAGGGUUCUAGAAAAGUCAAAAGACAAAAGGCUGCUGUGUUUGUUCUUUAAAAUAAUCCAACUCAAGUCAAUAGCCAGUUUGAUGAUGGAAAGACAAAGUACAGAAGAAAAGUUGGCAGAAGGCAUUAGGAGGGCUGGGACAUUGUCUGCAUAUAUGAACAAUGUUUCCACUAAAGGCAUACAGACAUGUAACACUGCUGAAGAAAAGUCUUAAGUGUGUAAAAGGAGUUCUUAAUUGGUCCAGAUAAUAAAAGGCCAGAGUCAGAUAUAGAGGGAAAUGCUGAGAGAUCAGAGAGAAGGAACACUCCACAGCACACCUUACCUCCUAAGCAUCUUAACAGAGAAGAGGAGAAUGAUUUCCUGUUUCUCUCUGCUUAUAUCCUGUUUCUCCCCAGCUACCUUUCUUCCUGUUUGUCUGUACAGACCUACAAACCUCUAUGGUUAGCUAUUGGCAAGCUUCAUUCUCUGAUCCCCAGACAGGCUUUAUUUGUGCAAGAAAGAUAUCACCAUAUAAGUGCCCUGUAGUUUGCUGCUUUUCUGGAAGCUUCCAUCUAAAGUUUCGCUGCACACCGAGCCCUGUGCUCAGUGGUUCUGAGAAUGAGUUGUGGCACUCAGCUUAACAGGCUGCAUGGCUUGAAAGGUCACAUUUCACCAAGGAGUGUGUUCUACAUUAGUGGGGUGUACCAGUCACAAAAUCAAGGGCAUCUUUAUAUAAUGGGUUAUAGAAAUACAUGAUUGAUAUAACUGACUCAGAUCUUUAUACGCUAUUGGACUUGGUGCCUCACACCUAUAAUCCCAGCACUUGGGAUAUAGAAGGAGGGAGAUCAGGGGUUCAAGAUCUUUGAAUGUAUAGUGAGUUCUUUCCUAGCCUGGGCUAUAUAAGGCUAUGUCUUUCUCUAUUAUUUCCAGUUGUGUGUUAGCUGGCUGGUUGGAUGCCAUAAAACUGAGUAGUUAUGCUUCCUAUGUGUAACAUAUUUCCCCUAAAAAGUAAUGAAAAGAUAACUUUCAUUUUAAGAGUCUCUUAGCGCAGUGUCAAAAUGUAGACCUCACAGCUAUUUGUUGAAUGAAUAAGCUUUUAGUUACAUCCUUUACCUGCUAUGCUAAAAAUCUCCUUGUAUGAUUCUACUUGACCCCUAUGAGACAUUUUUUAUUUUUUAUAUUUCAUUUUAUCCAUUCCUACUGGGUUCAAAGGAAAGAGAUUGAAAUGGUUUUCCAGCAAAUACUUAGGCAGCAUCUACCAUGCCCAUGCUCCCCUGACCUGUAAGACGAUAUAUAUUCUUCAGAAUUACUCAUCUCUAACAAGGUAUCCACAUGCAUCUGACAUGUCCCAAGUCUUUAUGAAGUGGAACAGUGCUUAAUGUUGUUUAAUGCUAAGACUAAAGUGACCUUUCCCCUCCUCACUCCUCAAUGGCCCUAAGUGACAGAUUUUCCCCAAAAAUACUUCCUAAGUAUUUUUCCAGCAAAUCUCAGGGAAUUGCCAUAAGAUGCCUUCAUUGUCCUUUCUCCAGUACAUUUUUCUCUUUUACACACCUGUUCAAACCCUAGGAAGUUAACUCCUUUUUGUUCAGUGAGAACACCAUUCUGCAUCCGUGUCAAUCAAACUAAGGUUAUGUUAGGUCAAUGGCAGGCAAGGCCAGGAGGUGGUCAAAGAGUGCAGAGGUGAAGGAUGAAGGAGAGUGUUUAUUGAUUUUCUCCUCUACUUGCUUGCCCCAAGUGGUUCUAACAGUCCCUGAAUCUCUAUCUCGCCCUACUAAACACAUGGUCUCCCCCUGUAUCCUAGUCUAGUUCUGUAGCCUUCAAACUAAUAGGAAUCCCUCUGCCUCAGCUUCCCAAGUGGUUUGCACCACGGUAAAUGGCUUAUAUUCUACCUUAUUUUUUUUCAGAUACUCUCACUGGGUAUACCUGUAGCUCUGUAGCCCAGGCUAGCCUUAGACUUACAGUGGUCCUCCUGUCUCUACCUCACUAGCGCUGUGAUUGUAGAUCUCAAUCACAAUGUACAGCUUUUAACUCUUAACUACAGAUUCUUCACCAAGUUCCACCACUUGGGUUACAUGAGGCUUGGCUAAUUUUAUGUGUUUACUUAGAUUCAAUUUCAACCACUCAUCACAGGCUCCCAGCAUGUGUGCUUUCCUUAGUGAGGUUAACAUUUCAGUUAGUGACUUCUGGGUAAGCCCGAGAGUAGAGGCAGGCCUUCAGAAGAUAGGGGAGAGGAGGAGGUUCAGAACAGAAAAAUAGUCUGUUACACAUGUGCAUGCAUGUGCACAUACCACACACACACAGGAGUGGGGGGAACAGAGACAGAGGCGGGAGACAGAGAGACUGAUUCAGAAAUUCACAAAAGCAGUGAUAGACUCUGCUAGAUAGAAAAAGAUGAUCCAUACAUAGAAAAGAAACUGGGAUGGAUGACAGUACAGCUGUGUGGUUCCUCAACAGGAAAACAGGUUACAGGGGACACCUCCCAAAAGCAAGCAGGUACCCCUGGUGAUAAGGGAUAGGCAAUCUUAGCCCAGGGGCCAUCUUACAGAUCUCAGAAACCUCAAACCAGUUUCAAGUUUUGAUAAGAGGCUUAUUCCUCCAGGGGACCUUGGGUGAGGUCUGCAGUGCACAGGAAACCAUUAGUCACCCCAUCGGAUAUGGAGAGCACCAUCUGGGGACCAUCUUUAGAGAGAACCUGUUGUCUGGAAGUGAGCUACUUGGGAAACAAUCUCAAGACAGGGAACCUGAAUUUAUCCUGCUGCAGCCCCAGGGUGAGGGAUAGCACAGGGAGGUUUUUGUUUGGGGGGGGAAGCAGGGGUGGGGAGCAGAUGCUGACAAGUCAAAAGGCAGAGGUGGCAAGUUUCUGCUUAGGCAGUGACAUGCUCAGUUGCUGGUGCAGAUCUCAUCAACAGAGACAUACCCUGGAGUCUGACUGCUCUGAGAGAUGAUGGAGGAAGAAACCCACCUCUGAAUCCACACAUUUGCCAUCACUGCUGUGGAGGUUGUAAACUCUGCAUCCCUAAUUGCCAACUUGACCCCUGUGGCUGUAUCUGUCAGCAAGAUGGCAAAUACGUCCAUCUUGAAAGAAAGAAGACAGGCUUGCCACCUGCAGACAACUCAGUGCUAUGACUACUUCCCAUGCUACCAAGGCACUUGUAAAACACCCAGCCCCAGGUAGGGAUUAGCCAUCCCCGUGUGUACCAUCAGGGAGAUGCAGGAGGAUAAACAUGCCCAGCUACCCAGCUAAACUUAGCCAGCAGAGGCCCCUGAUAUGAAAAGAAGGGAGAUGACUGAAGUAAAGCUCAGAUGGAUGCCACACACAGGUCCCGCACAAGGUCAACACCAGUUAAGCCAUAGGAAAGUUUAUGAAAGCCGGGAGGUUGAACUGCCACCUGCUACACUCCAAUGCGUAUAUUGAAGGUUUAUGCUUUUUUGUGCUAAGAAAGAACCUUCUCCAGAGUUUCAUUUAUGUUUACCUCUUAUGCUUACCCACCCUUAGAAAAUUUUAGCAGCGCAUUUUAGUAUAUCUUGUUUAAAAAUCAUGUUUUAAUUUUUAUUUCACUUUCAUACAUCCUCCUAAUUUUAUUUUCACCUUUCAUUAUUGAGUAAUUUUUAUUUAUUUAUUUUCUUUAUUUUUGCCUCUGGGUUGUCCCCUUCUGUCCUUCUCUAUUUCUCCCACGUGCUUGGUGGUAUUUUGAUUUAUCUUAUUGGAAUGAAUUUAUAAAUUUGUUGCUCACAAAAAACAAUUUCUUUGUUUUUUUAAUUUCCCUUUUUAUGUUUAUUGAAUUUUGCUUUGGGACUUUAUUAUUACUGAGAAAUCUAUUUUUAAUUUUAAAAAUAUCUUUUCUAAUCUCUCAUCGUUCUUUUCCCCUAGCAUGGUUCUCCAUUCCAUUACUCUGUUUAACUCUCCUCCUCUCCAUUUCCCUUUUCUCUGCCUCUUUUUUUUUAUUUCCACAUUUACUCGACAUAAUUUUUAAUUUCAUGCCACAUUCUGCACUAGUUUCCCAGUGUCUAGUUUAUGGCCAUUGGUAGCUUUAAUCAAUUCUGAGUGGAUUUCUACAUCUUCUGUGGUUUGAAGGGCCUGCUGUUACAGCAUUUGUUUCCUCCUCACUAAGUGGUACUUGGCAAUGAAGCCUCAAGAAUAGGUUGCUAAAUAAAAGAUCCCCAAAUAAAACCAGAAGAGACAUUCAAACAGCAGAUCUGCACAUUGCAUCACAGAAACACACAAGCUCUGAAAAGGCAAGGCAGGGUGAGUCCUGCAAGCAAGCAAAACUCUAGCACUACUGAAUUCAACAUAAGUAAAACCCCAGACGAAGAGUUCAAAGGCUUACUAGUAAAAAUAAUAGAUGACCUCAAAGAGGACACAGAAGGAUCAUUUCAUUCCAGACCCUGGUGAAGAAAGUCAGCAACAUGGCAAGGGGGAGGAUGUCAGCAAAAUGGAAGAAAAUGUUAACAAGAGAGAAGACAGUUACAGCAACAGCAUUUGAGUUUGGAAAAACAAUAGAAAUGGAACACAAAAUAGAAAACAUCACCAGUGAUAUAGCCAGGCAGAAGAACGAAUGUCAAGGACAGAGGACAAGUUGGAGAAACACAAAAGAAAUACCAAUGCGUCUGACAUACACAGACACACUUGCACACUCAUACGUGUGCAUGUGUUUAUAUUGUGUUUGUACGAAUGUGGUUACCGCAUCCUUUCAGCCUUUCAGACACUGAGGUGACAACAGCUUCCCACUGUUGUCAGCCUGCAAGUUGAUCCCUUGUUGAUUCUUGCGGCUUCAUCAACACAGUCAUACAUAGUCCCUUAGUAAAGCUUCUCCAGACCUUCUGAAGUGAGCCAUCUGCUGGAAGCCUCAAGGACACAGUUGUUCACUGCCAUCUUCACUGAGCCAGCUGGGAGGACACAGGACUUCAGACACUUGACCUUAAAGGCACCUAAAGACACAUAUUUAUCUUACUUAAAUGGUGAGUGAGGUGAACAUGGAAACUUAAAAUCCCAUCACUUGGGACCAUGAGGUAGGAGGACUGUCAUGAAUUUGAAGCCAGCUGGGACUUCAGAGUGAUUAGGCCAGCCUGGGUUAGAAAGUAAGAAACUCUUUUAAAAAUAAAUAAAUAAAUGAAGGCGAUUUAAAAAUCAAAAUAAAUAAAUACAGCCAGAAGACAGAUUACUCCAGCCUGAAAAGCCAUAGUUUAAUCUUUUGUGGACUUCAGUAAGAUAGUAAGAUAUAAAACAACAAGACAUAAGUGGAAAAUCCGUUUUCAGUUUUAGGUGCAACAUGGAUUAAAAAUACUUUACAUUCCAGCCAAUUCAAUAGUGUUAUUUUUAAUGUAAAUGUAUUUUAAGUUGCAAACAACCGGCUUUCACACUUUGACUGCGUUUUUUCUUAGGUCACAACUGUUUAUUUAGAGAGAGUAGGAUACUUGGCCCGGUAGGGCAAUGCCUUUACCCUCAUUAUUUUAUAUCUAAGACUCUGACUUUGCUUGUACCUCAGGCACUAUGAACACUUAUUACAUGGAUGAAAGAAUAAAUAAAUGGCAAUGAAGCUUAGAAUGCAACCAUUUACACCGAGAAAACCUAAGACCCUUGGGUGGCACAGAAGGAGAGGCCACCUGGUUCUUCCCUCUUCACUGGGAAGCUCUGGCCCUCUUUUCUUUCCAGGCCAUUUGUUGUCAGUUAUAUGGUAAAUUCCUUUUAAAUUGGGUAUCAGUCUGUGAAAUUAUUCAGAAAUGCGGGGGCGAUGCUCAUUCCCACACUCUGCUUGGCAAUUUACCUUUGACCUUUACAAGUAAAAGUUUUCUGUUAUCUGCUCUAUAAUUAUGAAUGGAUGGAUGGAUGGGGGUUUGGAAUGGGGGCAUCAAGUGAGGAGGAGGAAGAGGAUUGAGGGAAUAUGGAGAGAGACAGCCAAAAUCAUGGGCCAUUUGAGGUUUAGAAUGGAAGCCUAAUACAGCAGAAACCUCCUGAAAUAUGUACUUAUAUGAAGGAGGUGAUCUAAAUGAGGAGGGAGACAGAGUCACCCAAUGAAGCUUCCGGUACUGGGAUUGGGCUACAGGAGUCCCAUGGGAAUCUCCAAACAACCAAGGCUGUUGCCAAGACAAUAGCUUGUUCCCCACAAACUGACAGCAAGGCCCUGUUGCUGAAGACAACACCCACACAACUCAUUUAACACGGAGAUGUCAAGCUGGUGUCCACGUAGAGCCUUCACCCCUACGCCCUAGUGUCUUCGGUAUUGGAAGGUACUCUUCACGCUACCAAAAGAGAAAUGCAAAUGCCAAGCCAGCCAUAAACCCUUUCUUUGAUUUACAAUGGUGUUCUGCCUGCAAGAUAUGCUAGGCCAAUGGUGGCACAAAGCUUGUGGGACUGACCAACCAAUAAUUGAUUUUACUUAAGGGCCAUUCUACGAGAUGGGACCCGUACCUGGCCCUGCUUGGGUGACCAUGAAUCAGGGACUGGCCAGCCCAGGGACCUAGGGUAAAACCAAAUACUACUGCUCUAAAAAACAAACAACAAAAAAUGUAAUGACAAGCUGGGUGUUGGUGACGCACACCUUUAAUCCCUGCACUCGGGAGGCAGAGGCAGGGGGAUCGCUGUGAGUUCAAGGUCAGCCUGGUCUCCAGAGUGAGUGCCAGGAUAGGCUCCAAAGCUACACAGAGAAACCCUACCUCGAAAACAACAACAACAACAACAACUACAACAACAACAACAACAACAACAAAAAUGUAGUGACAAAAUGACUCCUAAUGAAAUUCUGUUAUACUUAUACAUCAGUGCUUUGUUUAGCCAUCAUCAGAGAAGCUUCUUCCUGCAGAAGAUGGGAACAACACAGAGAUCCACAAUCAGACAAUAUGAAGAGAGUGAGAAACCUUGGAACACUCAAUCCCAAAUGGGUUGUCUCCAUCAAAUCUCUCCGCUUAGAGCUCAGGGAGUCCUGCGGAUGAAGAGAUUAAAAGAGUGUAAGAGCCAGAGAGAAUGAAGGACACUAAGAAAACAAGACCCUCUAAAUCACCAUGGGCAAAGCUCACACGAGCUCACAGACUGAAGCACCGUGCACAGGGCCAGAACAGGUCUGCUCCAGGCCAUUUGCAUAUAUAGCAUAGCUUCCAGUCUAGUGUUUUUAUGGGACUCCUGAGUGUGUGAACAAGUGGGUGUGAUUCUUCUGCCUUCCCGACCUCUUUUCCUUCUAUUGGUUUGUCUUAUACAAAUUCGAUGUGAUAGUUUUGUUUUAUCUUACUAUAUUUUAUUUUGUUAUAUUUGAUUAUUGUCUCUUAGAAGCCUGUUCUUUUCUUAUGAGAUUCAGAAAGGGAGUGAAUCAGGAUGGAAGAGGAGCUGGGAGGAACAGAAGGAGGGGGAACUCUAAUCAGUAUAUAUUACUUGAGAAAACAAUCUGAUUUUUAUUUUUGAUCAUAUUUUAAUUCUUCCCUUUCCUUCUCUUUUUUAGGGAUACCAAAUUUUCAUUGUACAAUUUUUUUUAACUUUUCACCUGUGAUUUUAUUUUUUAUACAUUUUUUUAAUUUAAAGAAUCUUUUUUUACAUGUCAAUCCCAGGUCCCUCUCCCUCCUCUCCUCCCCUGCCCCCCACUGACCCCCUAUCCUAUCCCCUUUCUUCUUCCCAGGGAGGGUGAGGCCUUCCAUGGGGAACUUUAAAGUCUGUCACAUCAUUUGAAGCCGGGCCUAGGCCCUCCCCCGGAGUGUCUAAACUGAGAGAGUAUCCCUCUAUAUGGAAUGGGCUCCCAAAGUCCAUUUGUACACUAGGGAUAAAUACUGAUCCAUUACUAGAGGUGCCAUAGACUGCCCUGUUCUCCUAACUGACACCCACUUUCAGGGGGUCUGGGUUGGUCCUAUGUUGGUUUCCCAGCUAUCAGUUUGGGGUCCAUGGGCUCCCCCUUGUUCAGGUCAGCUGUUUCUGUGGGUUUCUCCAGCCUGGUCUUGACAUCUUUGCUCAUCACUCCUCCCUCUCUGCACCUGGAUUCCAUGAGUUCAGCUCAGUGUUUAGCUAUGGGUGUCUGUUUCUUCCAUCAGCUACUGCAUGAAAACUCUAGAAUGGCAUAUAAGGUAGUCAUCAAUCUCAUUAUAGGGGAAGGGCAUUUAAGUAGCCUCUUGACUAUUGCUUAGAUUCUCUUUAGACCUAUAAUGGCUCCCUCUAUUAUAGUACCUCUUUUCUUGCUCUCCUGUAUUUUUUCCUCUGACUCAAUCUCCCUGUCCUUCAUAUCCUCUUCCCUCCUCUUCUCCCCUUCUCCUUCUCUUAAUUCCCUCCCCCUCCCCUGCCUCGUGCUCUCAAUUUGCUCAGGAGAUCUUGUCCUUUCCCCCUUCUCUGGGGGACCAUGUAUGUCUCUCUUAGGGUCCUCCUUGCUUCCUAGCUUCUCUGGUGGUGUGGAUUAUAGGCUGGUAAUCCUUUGUUCUAUGUCUAAUAUUUAUAUAUGAGUAUGUACUCCUUUUGUGACCAGGUUACCUCACUCAGGAUGGUUUCUUCUAGUUCUAUCCAUUUGCCUGCGAAUUUCAAGAUUCCAUUGUGUUUUUUUUUUUUUCCUGCUGAGUAGUACUCCAUUGUGUAAAUGCACCACAUUUUCUUUAUCCAUUCUUCAUUGAGGGACAUUUAGGUUGCUUCCAGGUUCUGGCUAUUACAAAUAAUGCUGCUAUGAACAUAGUUGAAUUGCAAUAAGUAUAUGUUAUAUGAGAAAAAAUCUAUUUUAAUAAAAGUAAAAAAGUAAAAGUUUUUAACACUCAGCAUAUUCUGUUUUUCAACUUGCAUAUUCUCACAAGAAAACUAGCAGGUCUGUCCAGAAUCACCAAGAAAUAUUCCUAUUCAUACUUUGCCUCACACAGUUUAUUGAAGCUACAGCAAACUGAAGACUUGGUUACAAACUAAGAGAUUUGAAGCCCUUAAGGAUAUGUUCAAAAUGGCCCUCCUCAUCCCCUUCUCUCCAGGUCUACUGAUAGUGUAAUCUUUCCUUUUCUUUUUGAAAGCUUAUUUCAGUUAUUUUUUGUGGGGGGUCUAGACAGGUUUUCUCUCUGUAGCUUUGUAACCUGUCCUGGCAGUUGCUCUGUAGACCAGGCUGGCCUCGAACUCACAGAGAUCCGCCUGCCUCUGCCUCUCCUGAGUGCUGGGAUUAAAGGUGUGCACCACCACCCAGCUUUCUUAUUGUAUUUUUAAUAGAAUAUAAUUACAUCAUUUUCCCAAGCUCCCCCUCUCCAUCCACUAUCAUUCCCCUCGUGACUCCCUCUCACGUUCAUGGCCUCUUUUUCUUCUAUUAUUACAUGUAUGUGAUUUGGUACCCCGCUGAGUCUGUUCAGUGUUACUUGUAUGAUCUGUUUUUAGGGCUGACCACUUUGUAUUGUGUAAGCAUUUAGGGAGCUCAUUCCUGGGGAAAACGAAUUCUUCUGCUCUCUGUAGUCAUUAAUUGCCUGUAGCUCUUCAUCUAGGGGUGGGGCCCUGUGAGAUUCCCCCUAUCCACGUUGGCAUGUCAACUGAUGUCUUUGUUCAGGUCUUAUUCAGCCGUAUUGUUGGAGUGUGGUCUUCCCAUCAUUUCUAGAAGACAGUCUUACAGCUGAGGUCCUCUGGCUCUUUCAGUGUUUCCAUCCUCUCCUCUGUGUGGUCCCCUCCAUGAUGAAGAGGUUGUGUGGUAGAUGCAUCAAGUGGACCCAAGCACUCCCCUCCACAGUCACUUUUUCUUUGCAUUUGACCAGUCAUGGUUUUCUGUUCUGGUCUCUGUCUUGUCUGCUGCAAAAGAGGCCUCUUUGAUGAGGUGUGAGAGCCAUACUUAGCCUAUGGGAGUAAGGAUAAAUAUUUAGAAUGUGGGGAGGAUUGCACUGGUUCAGGAAAGUCGAGGAGAGUAGCUUCUCCUCUAAGAACCAUGACCUCACUCGCAAUAGCAUACUUCCUAUGUGUGGGGAAAUAGAGGAAUUUUCCUGUUUCUUUUUCUGUGUUUCUAAGCAGCAGUAUGAGAGGAACUAAGCCUCAGCAGGUUGGACAUGAUAUGCACUUACUACCAUGUAGUUUGUGGCAUUUGGUAGAUGUGGGCAUUGUUUCUAAUGUCAGGUGGAAACAGAAUCCUAUCAGCUUUCUGCAGCUGUUCUUUGUUGGGAUGAAAGUACUGUGGAACCAUAAGCAAACUGUAAAGUGACAGUGGAGUAACUCAGCAGGAGCAGUUAUUAUUCACUGACCAGCCCAAUAAUGGCUUUUCUAGAAGACGUGAAGAUUUCAUACCAAGACAAUCCAGAGACACAGGCUACUUCCAUAUCAUGGCUCUCUCAUGGCAUCAGACUCCCUAGAGAGCAUCCAGCAAACUGGAGGCAGGCGUGGAGGGUACCACAUGAGAGAUUCCAGUUGACCUGGCUUUCUCACAUCUUACUAUGAAGAACUCAAAUAUUUUAACUCAACAAUGAAAUCCAAAGAGUAUGGAACAUGUGGGCCCUGGGUAAGUAGACAGACAACUCCCCAGUAACAGUUAAACAGUGUAAGAGAACACAGAGUGUUUCUGAGAGCAGCUAGCUGACUCAGCCAGGGAAGUUUAGUCACAUAGGACUGCAGAUAGAAUCCUUCUGUGAUGAUGAAUAAGAAAAGAGGCACACAUCAAACUUUGGAGUGUAAGAUAAGAGGUCCCAUCAGCUUCUAGUACCCCAGCUUGGGUAAGCUCUUGCACUUGUGGUAUUAACACUCAUUUUAUGAAGAGAACCAAGAGGUUCUAUCUCUACAAUUGUGGGCUUAUGCCCAGAACUAACUUAGGAUUUUACUUACAGAUUGGGCUUUACCACCAUCAAGUCCACACAUAUUAAGCAGAAACUGUGGUUCAGACUUUGAAUUUGGACCUUUGCUUGGGCUAGCAACAUAUCUUCCAAUCCUCUUCUCGAUGCUAAACGGAUGAUGUAGCAAGUCAUAGUUUCCAGUCAACCAUGUGAUCACAAGAGGAAAAAAAUGACACUCUACAGUAUGCUGUAUUGCUAAGCUACUGUGUUCAGUGAGCUAGCUAUCUAUAUGCAUUUUUUGACUUACAUAUUUUAAUUUAUGAUAAAUUAUUGGUAUGUAACCCCACAAAUAGAGGGAUAUAAUAUAUAUAUAUAUAUAUAUAUAUAUAUAUAUAUAUAUAUAUAUUGGGGAUUUUCCACCGUUCCUUUUCAGAGAGCUGUGUAUUGUUUUAUCUGAAGGUGCCUAGUCACAGACCCCAUUUACUGUUUCUACCUCUGCUCAUAGUCGAAUACUGCAAAAAUGAUUGUCAUUAGGUAGAAACUAUGCUUCAAGUUUUGAAUUUAGAGUCUUUCAAUGCUAAUGAUAUGCAGAGCAAUCCCAUCUCAGGACUGACAGCUGCUGUGACCCACAGCUCCAAUCAGACAUGUCAACACCAGGGAAAAAAGCUCUUACCACACUGCACUGUGGGAGCGGAUAUGAUAUUCAGUAGGAAUGGAUAAAAUACACUUCGGACCUAAUGAUAGUUUCCACUUCUAGAGGCAUUUAUUGUGAUAGAAAUCUCCUGUAAAUUCAGAAGAAACUAUAUUGUUCUUUCUUCUCUCUUCCUUGGAACUCAAUCGCAUGUAUGUCAAACUUCCUGAUACUUUCCCCCAGGUCGUCAGUUCUCUGUCCACUUUCUUUGAAUUUGCAAAAACACCUAUAUGUUAUCUGGAGGAGUUUCUCUUGCUGUGAUACCAACUCACUGCCAUGUUUACUCUGCCACUAGUCCUAUUCACUAUGAUUUUUAUUACAGGUAGUUUUUAAUAGGGUUUCCCAUUAGGGUUUAUCUGCCUACUCUUAAACUCUUCUGUUUUCUCUUUUUCAUGUACAUAAUGUCCUUAAAUGCUUGACCAUAUUUAUAAAACUUGCACAUUAAUAGUGGCUUUAAGUCUUUUUCCAGUAAUCACAUCACCUGUUAUUUCUGUAUCUCUUUCUACUUAUGACGUAUUCUUCUUGUUAAGAGUCACGGUUCCCUGUAACUUUGAAUCCUUGUUGAUAUUUUUAUGAGAUACUGGGCAUUGUGAACUUUAUAUUUCCAGGUACCAGGUUGUAUUCUUUCCAUGUGGGACUUUGUUGUAGAGUGUGGUUAACUGAUUUCAGUUCAGUUUAAUCCUCUUGUCACCUUGGUUUUAACCUUGCUAGGACAAGCCCAGAGAUGCUGUUAUUCCCAUACCAGGGUUAGUCCCUUCUGGUUGCAUGCUCAUCCUUACAGCAUUGCUCCCAUCUUAUAGCCGAAACUGUGUUCAGUUUCCAGUAUUAUAUGAGCUUAGAAAAUUUUUAUCUUUCUUUCUUAUAUUUCUUCCUAGUUUUCUUCCUGCUGAUAUAUUAAAGCAAUAGGUUGCUACCCCUUGGGGACAACUAAUGACCCUUUCACAUGGAUUGAAUAGCAGAUAUUUAUAUUACAAUUCAUAGCAGUAUCAAAUUUAGUUAUGAAACAGCAAUGAAAAUAAUUUUAUGAUUGGGGGUCACCACAGCAUGAGGAUGUGUAUUAAAGGGUCACAGUAUUAGGAAGGUUGAGAACCAUUGAAUUAAGGGGACUUAUCUGGAUAUCUGUCUUUCUCUCCUGUCCUGGUUGGGUUUUCUGAUUCAUGUUAGAGUCACUUGGGAAGAAGAAUCUCAAUCAGAGAAUUGCCUAGAUCAGAUUGGCCCAUGAACAUGACUGUGGGGCAUCUUCAUGAUUGCUAAUUCAUGUAAAAGGACCAUGGGAGGUACCAUACCUAGGUGGGUAGUCCUGGUUACAGGGCUCAGCACGUAGAGUGAGGGGCAAGCAGUGUUCCUAUCCCAACUUCCCUCAGCGAUAGGCUGUACUCUGGAAGUGUAAGAUGAAUUAAACCCUUUCUUCCUCAAGUUGAUUUUGGUCUGAGUACUUUGUCUUAUGAACACACACACACACACACACACAAAAUCAGAACACCUCUCUUCUGUCCAAUAAAUUAUAUUUGCCUUAUCAUCCCUCCCUGGUUUCCAGCAGUUGGCUUUCUCAAGAGAACUGCUGUAUUGUACAGCAUUUCCCCUCCUGUAUUCAGUCAGUGAAUCCCUGCCUAGGUUAUAAACUUCAGAAGUCACAGGACUUACUGACACCCAUGCUCUAGGGAGCCCACACUCUGACACUCCCUGUAGCUCAGUAUGUAACACUGCUUCUUCCAUCCCCCAUGGCUGUGGAUUUUCUAUUCGUCAUGGUGGAUGAUGAAUUCUAUACGAAUUCCUCCUUCAGAAGCGGUUCCUCCACUUUGUGUCAUGCUGCUUAUUUAGUUUUGCUGUUGUGGGGACUGCUCUCUUUGGCACGCUCUAUCUUAUUACUCUCAGUUGUGUGAUGACAUCGUUCUGAAAUUGCUAUGAUCUCCUAGUACUGAAGAACUGAGGGAAAGGGAGAAGAUCGGUAAGUAAAUUUGAGCCCAAUUUGGAUGACUCACUCCAGAAUAUUAGUUUAAGUGGUCUCCAAGCAGCUCAAGCUGAGCCUGGAUGAUAAAGUAGCUUCCAACCUUUCCGUUUGGCUACCCAUGUAGUGAUAGGCUUAUACUGGUUUGCUCAUAUGGUCUCGGUAUGGGCACUAAAAUUCCCACAUCCUGACCAGGCCAAUGGGGACAGCAGGUCACAAUAUCCUUCCAAAUCCACUCUAAGACAGUGUCUCAGUCCAUCCUUCAUCUUUCACAGCCUCUCGAAUGUAAAGGCUGAAUAAGAAUCAGGUGUGAAUUAUCACUGGUUAGAGAUGGGCAACAGCGACCCCUAUGAUGUCUCCUGGGUACUGUGUUAUAACUGAAGCAAUGCACCCCUCUUCCCUUGAUGAUGGGGCUUUAGCUACCAUUGGCCCAAGAAGACUAAUGGUUUUGAUGGGGACUUGCAUUCUUCCUUCAGGAUUAGCCAUUAGCCUCUGCCUCUGACCCCUCAAGAGCAUGUCACUGGACAAAGAAAGGCCCAGUGAGGCAGGUUGCCUAGACAAUACCCUUAGCUACCUAUGACAUCUCUCCCUAGGGAAUGUUGGAAGUUCUUUAUUCUGUCCAUAACAAAGGAACUCUUAUACAGCUAAACUAAAUCCCUUCAUUUGCUUACCCACUCGACAUGUCUGAGUUUAGUUUCAUGGGUCUCCCUGAGCUUGCUGUAGAGACACAGUCUCAACCCCUUAGCCCUCACCAUGCCCUCUCCAGAUCAGUGCCCAGCUUGGGAAACAGGACACCAUGUUCCACCCAUCUCUCCCUUCUCAACUGCCCUUCCAUUUUGGGAAAAUGAGAGGAGUAACUUUUUUGUCUUUCAAUCCCUCUGUUUUAAGUGUUUCCUCUUUGGGUCUUAUGCACAGUAUGAAAAUGACCCAUCAGCUCUAACCCUUGCUGGGUUUAGGAGGGAGAUCUAUAAAGACCCUGAAAUACUUUUCCCUAGCAUUGCAACUAAGAUUCUAGAUGCAGAUGUUAGAAAUUCAGCAUUAAUUUCCCUCUUCCAUUUUAACAACUGUCUUUUCUUAUCUCCUUGAUCAUCUUCAAGCUCAGGCAAAGGCAAAUUCCAAAGCAAGGGGCAUUUGGGAUACUUCCAAAUAGUAAUCAUUUAUAUGUAAUUUCUAAAACUUUGUUUUUAAAAAAUGAAAUAAGGUUCUUGUUAACUUAUUAUUUCAAAGUUAAUUUGAGCAGCUUCUGUCUUUCUGUAAGGGAUCUGUGUCCUUUAUGUUUUGGCUUAACUAACUUAUGGAGCUUUCUAGUUUUAGAGGGCCCUUUGGUAUUAUUUUCUCUCUCUUUUUUUGCUUUAUGAGUUUUCAUUAGUUGUGGUUUGUAAAGUAGAAAGCACAUUCUUGAACGUGUUAGUAUUGUAUUUCCCAAUUCCAUGGGUAUCAAGAGUUGUCAUUCUUGACAAAUUCUACCAUGAAAUACAUUUUAGACACUCAGGGUGAAUGGGCCUUUCACUCUAGUUCUUACUGUUUGUAGAGUAUGGAUGAAUUUUAGGCUCCUAGAGCAGAAAACACACCACGUGUCAAAUUGAUUUGACUCGUUUCCUCUGUAUCUUUAGUGAGACAAAUACCCUAAAUGACGGUAUCCACUGUUACUGCUGAAUGUCCUGUGGUUUCUCCUGAGGUCCUGGAGGCUCAGAGACUGAUAUCUUGGCAUAUCAACAAGGCUUCUUCAAUCACAGAUUACCCUGGCAUCUAGCCACUGGCUGGCUGUGGCAGAGUAUGGGGGAUGUGGGGAAUGGAAGCCGAGUGUAAUGACUUCAAACUUGCUUCCAGAAGGAUUCCAAGUGUGUAGGACCAUAUUCUUCUACUGAAGAUGGCUCCAAAUGGGGUUGCUCUCCUGCAGCCAUGGCUAUAGCCAUUGCUCACAUAGUUACAGCAAUCCCUCCUUCCUGGGGUGGUUCUCAACCUGUGGGUCGUGACCCCCUUUGGUUUGAAAGACCCUUUUGCAGGGUUCACAUAUCAGGGAUCCUGCUUAUCAGAUAUUUACAUUAUGAUUCAUAACAGUAGCAAAAUUAUAGCUAAGAAGUAGCAAUGAAAACGAUUUUAUGGUUGGGUUCGCCACAACAUGAGGAACUGUUUUUAAAGGGCUGCAGCAUUAGGAUGGUUGAGAACCACUGCUUUAAGGCCUAGGGGUUAACUGUAGUCACCUAUUGUGAUCAUGGCAAGGAUGCUUCAGCAUCUUUUACCAGAUUCCAUGUGAGUCUAAGCGUCAUCACAAACUCACCAGUUACAGCACUGGAGUGAACUAUAUCUCCUUCCUGUCAAAUCUGGGAUUCACAUCACCUUCCCAGCAAACAGUGAGAUUAAUAUAAACUUUCUCACCCCUUCCCCUUGAACCCAUCUUCUUGUGAGUUAAUAUGGAUUUUUUUUGUUUUAUUUCAUAGUUUUAAAUCGGUGUUGGUGCUACCAAUAUUACUUCAUGCUGAGAAUUAUUUUAGGAAGUAUUGAUGACAUCUUGUAUUCAAUUCCCUCAAAAAUACUUCAAAGUGUUAGAGAAACUCUUAUUUAGAUGGUUUGAGGACUUUUGUGCCAAGAAUGUCUUGUCUUUAGUUAGUCACUCAGGUACCUAGAGUAGUUGUCAAAAAGAGUAAAUGAGUUGUAUAUUUUUUAAGUCAUCGCAUAGCUUAAAAUAACAUUCUGUUCCCUUCACAGAACAAUGAUCUGGCUUCAUAUAGAAUUCAUGAAUCACCAUCCUCUUUACAGCCGUUGGCUGUUGCUUCCAGUAUCUCCUGUAUUUUAAGACCAUGAAGAAGGAGUCUGGGGCCGACCCAGUUUUCCCUCAGGCCCAGUAUGGCCAACCUGUUCCCCGGUACUGUCAGCCAACAUUCUAUAUUUCAGAAAACUCUCCUUCCCACACACGCAUACUUUUAAACCAUGAAGAUAUCCUGCUUUUUUCAAAGUUCCCUAUGAGACUUAGCAUCAAAGCGACACUUCUAGUCUGCACCAUAAUGCUUACAAAAAUCAUGGUUUUCCGAAGUUUACCAACUGGUCUUGAAGACUUAGCUCUAAGCAAGAAUGCCUUCUUCUCCUUGAAUUACUUUCAGGAUCAGCAUGGAUGCACAUUUUUUGUAACCCCCCUCCCCCAGUGGUUUGUGAUCUGUGAUCGAUUUAAUUAUCUUAUCAUUCAGAUUUUCCAAGUUUUGAACAGAGCAAGUCCUUCUGCUCUGAGACACUGUCCUUAGAAUCCUAUUGUCCGUUCCCAAGAUGAUGAAGGGACAGAGAAUCAAAUGUCUGUUGUCAAAGCACCCAGUCUUGCAGUCAUGUCAUUUUCUCCUGGUGAGUCUAUACUGCCAUGAUUGCAACUAGGCAUCAGUAUACAGAGUUCAUUACGUAGGUCUUCAAACCUUCGUGGAGGACACGUGCUUUUAUGCACCGAAUGUCAUUAAUGUCUGGAUUCAGUCGUAAGUAUAUACAUAUCUAUAGACACACUUUGGAGAGGGAUCUUAAAGUAAGGCAUUAUCUAUUUAUUUUUGCAGUAGGGACCCAGGACCCUAGAUAGCUACUAGGCUCACAGUAGACACACUGAGCAAGCAUCCUCAUCUUCAGAACACCACUUGGAUUCCCUGUCUGUCUAUGUUCUUGGAGAACUAAAAAGCCUCUCUCCAUCCUCACCUCCUUACUACCUCUCUAUGUAAGCAGGCAAUCAUUUCCAGCCUCUUCAAAGCUUUUGCAGUCACUGUGCUGAGUGGGCAGGGUUCUCAAAGGCUAUUCAAAUCUCUAGAGGGAUCCUUAAAGACCAGAGUGGAGACUAUGGGAUAACCCAAAAAACAGGGCUGGGGGGGGGAUGAAUAGUGUUUUCCUUUUUCCUCCAUGUGGAUGUUGUCACUAGUGGCCCCUCAGGGCAUCUUUUGAAUGUGUGAGUAGUUUGUGUGUACUGCAGGCAUAUCUCGGAGGGCUGUGUACAAGGACAUACAAGCCCAUAUCUUAGCCCCAUCCUGCCAUUCAGUUUUGUGACACAUGGCUGUCAGAGAUAGCACCCAGUGUCCCUGGGCUCUGCCUUCCCUGCAAGGCUGCCACAUGCCACCAAGAGAUGCAGUUCUCUUUUCGCUCAUUUUGCAUAAUCAGUUCUAUUCUGUCGUGUUCUCUCACACAUGGUGCUCUGAGACUACGCCGGGAAACAGGAGUUUUUUUUCCCCUCGUUCAGAUGAGUAGCCUAAUUUUACGUGUGCUCAGCCUGUUUGGUAAAUGAAGUCAAUUACUCAUGGAUCUGUCAGAGGAAGAGAAAGACUCAUAGAGGCAUGGCACCUGUUUUUAGAUCCAGGGGUCAUCUCCUCCCUCCUAUCCCACUGAGAAUCAUAACCAAUCAAAUUGUUGCCCUUCGAGUUGAUAUUUUCAGUUGUCUAACUUUAAAAUCCACUGCAUGGGUUUCUUCGGUCGAUGCUAAAGGAUUCCCCCCUUUGAAUGCAUUCAAGAUUCUUCAAGCCAUUUCCUUAUCAAAUUUCUGCAAACACCACUGAACUAGUUUCUUUUCCCAUCACUGUGAUAAAAUAUCCUGACAAAAGUAGUUUAUGGGAGAAAGGGCUUUAUUUGGUUCACAGUUCAAAGUCCAUCAGGGUGGAGAAACGCUGCUGGUAGGAACAUGAGACAGUUGGUUGUGCUGCAUCUACAGACGGGGACCAGGGUGGUGAAUCCCCUUGGGAGGCUUCCUUCCUUCUCUUUGGAAUGCUGUCCAGAACACAAGUACAAUUAGAGGAUGGCUCUUCUCAUCUCCGUUAGCUUAACCAAGGAAGUCCCUCAUAGGCCUGCCCAGGGACUAUAUGGAUCUAAAUCAUCCCUCACAAGUGUGCCUGGAAACCUGUCUCCAGGGUGAUUUCAGAUCCUGCCAAGUUGGAAAUCAACACUAACCAUCGAAGCCAUUUGGCUCAGGGACUCAGUUUUGUCAUUGACAAUAUCCAUUCUAGCAAAAUCACACCUUCCCCAAACUUGAAAAAUAGCAAUGGAGUAGUCCCAACAUUUCACCUCCCUCGAGAGAUUAUAGGGAAGGUGAGAGAUGGCCCAGGAAGGAAGUCGUGCCUUCAUGCCGGAAACUCUCAGCAGCACCCCUUUACCUGCCACAGGAUUCAUAUGGCCCCCCAACUUCCUAAAGUUCACCCUCUACCAGGGCCCUACAAUCUAUACAGACACAUUUUUCUGUUGAUUUCCCCUCAGCGUGGACACUCUUUUCUAGCUGAGUGUGGUCUCACUGACUGUGGUGAGCAUGGAAGGCAAGCACCCGGAACAGCUCCUGGCACUGAGGAGAUCAGACAGGAGCACCAGAAAGAUUAGCAAACCUUGCAUGUCAGCAAUUAUUCCAGAUGCAGGACUCUUUGUGUUUGUUUGCUUUACUCAACCCAGGGUGUCCAAGAGGACAUCCUAAUCCCUCUUGGAAAGGCAGGCUAUGGUUGUGUUAGGUCUGUGACAUUUAGCAGCUAAAUGACUCUAAGACCUUCCCUCAUAAACACUUAACAAUUUUUCUUCCACUGCAAAAACCUUAAAGCUGACAGGGCAAUUGAGAAAUGCUCGUGUGGUAACAUGCAUUUUUAAAAAGGUUCCAAAAUGUUGAAGAUGUGUGCAAAUGUUAGCUUGCCGCGGUGGAACACUGGGAGAGGGCUAGUGAAUGAGUGGUACUUAAAAGACCUGCAAAGUAGAUCUGAUUCUCCAAUCUUGGUACGAUCGAUAGAUGCUUCCAUUACUACCACAAGUAUGUCUCUUCUGAAACUGCUCUAGCAGCACAGUUCUAACAGGAGAUGAAAAGUGAGCAAUCUAAAAAUAGAUGGCCAAGAGAGGGAUCUGACCUGUGAAGGGACUCUCUGGGCUACGGAGAGCUGUGGGUGGUUAAAACCUCUCGCCGUCCCCUGUGAGCUGGUGAUCAUCUGGGGUCUGUUUAAUCAAUUUGGGGCUCCGGUCUUCUUCCUCUUCCUGCCCACUGCCUCCUUCUCAGUCAUUCCACUUCCCACGAACACGCCUCAAGGUGGAGGGACCAGGAAAACACACAUUGAUUAACUCAAGCAGGUCAACUGGAUGACAUUCAGCAACCUACAGGGAUGCAAGAGUGGGCUAAGUGGAAUGCAGUCCGUGAGCCCUCUGUGAAUCUCCAGCCAUUUUUUCCCCCUUUGGUACAGCCACAAAUAACUAGGGGUGGACUAGACAGAGUGCUUCUAAAGUAAGUCAGUCUCUCUCUCUCUCUCUCUCUCUCUCUCUCUCUCUCUCUCUCUCUCUCUCUCUCUCUGUGUGUGUGUGUGUGUGUGUGUGUGUGUGUGUGUGUGUGUGUGUGUGUGUAUGUAUUGGCCCAUAAAGCAGAUUUUAUGUAUACACUUCUUUUUUUACUCCUGUCUUGCCUAUUUCUGUGGUUUAGGUUACCUCUGGUCAAAAAAUAUUAAAUGGAACAUUUCAGGAAUUAACACUUCAUUGGUUUUAAUAAUUUGUGUCAUGGUGUGCUGUAAUUAUUGCUAUAUUUUUUGGUUAUCAUUUUUAGUCUCUUUCUGUGUCUAAUAUACAAAUGAAACUGCACACCAGGGUAUGUUUAUUUAAAAAACAACAUAUAUAUGUAUAUGUGUGUGCGUGUAGAAAUGUGUGUAUGUCAGGGUGUGUGCAGGUGUGUGUGUGUGUGUGUGUGUGUGUGUGUGUGUGUGUGUGUGUGUGCAGGUGAGUAUGUGUGAGGGAGUAUGUGUGUGUACAAUCUGAGGUUUCCCCUCUCCACUGGAGUUCUAACACAUAGAUUACAAGAUGCUGUCAUGCAUGUAGGACAGGGGAUAGCAGAUACAAAGAAUGUUGUUACAUGGAAGCAAUUGUCUUCCAAAGAGAAACUGGUAGACCUGGAGGUGAGGGGGUCCCUUUCAGUUGCCUCCUAGCUGAGAUAGUGCAUUCUUUACCUGAAUCGCAUUCAGGAAGCAUACUUCCACUCCUCUGAAAACAAGCUGCUCCAAACAUCUGCGGGGAGACAAAGGCAAGCAUGAGGAAGGGACCCAGAGAUGAAUAUUUCAGCAGAAACGUGGGAAGAAAUACGCUGCAACUUGCAAGCAGCCUUCUGUACCACAUGCCAUAAAUUAGCACAAUAUAAAUUUAUACAUAUUUACACCACAUAGUCUCUAACUAUAUAAAUCUUCAAUACUCAAACUUGUGGAGUAGGUGUAAGGGAACAGUCCAUAUGCUUAUUCGUGUUCCAUGGAGCUCUAGGGAACUUUAUCAUUUCAUUCUCCCUCCGUGUAUAAUUGUGCAUACAUUACAUAUAAUGUGUUUGGGUAGAUACACAAUUGAUAUUGUACAAGUACAUAUAACCACAUAUUAAUUAUGUAAUUAUAGAUAUAAUUGUGUAAAUAAUUGUACAUAUAUACAAUUUGAGAUGUAUAAACAUACAAGACACAUGGUUCUAAUGUUUAGAUUAAUACCUAAAAGCAAAACUGCUUUAGAAAACAUUGCCCUUUUAUCCUGAGGCAUUAGCAGGCAAAGAAAAAAGUAGUUUGCUUCAAUUGAGCACUUACCUAGAUGACUUGAGUAUUUCAACACUGUCAAUUAUGACUCAUCUAUACAGAGAUUGUAUUGAGUAAACGAUUCAUAGAUGGAAAAGAUAAUGCAGGGACUGUCUCAUCCCCAUGAAAGCAAAUAAGAUAUUAAUGCCAGGCAGCAUGCCUGCUGCUUGAAAUCUCUUUGCUGGGGAAAGAGACCUUGUAGGUGCUGGAAGUAAAGGGUAUGGCUGAACUCAGAUUCCGAACAGUUGGAUUUUGUGUCUGGAUCUGCCAUUUCCAUAGUCCCCUGUAGGGAGACACCGUAACAAUGCCUCCUAAGGGCUGGCUACAGGUGUGCCUGACCACGCCUGUGAAGGCGUGGUCAAGGUGAGGUCAGGAUGACUCAUGAUAGGUUUUUAAGGGGCUGCAAGGCACAUGGGGGCCCUUCUCUCUGCCUGCCUGCCUUGCUGUCCCUGGCACGCUCUGGCUUGCAUUUGGUUGGUGUUUAUCUGAAUAAAGAUAUCUUAACCUUACAGACUGUGGAUCGGCUCUCAUUAUAGUCCCCCAAUCUGUCAGAGGACAGGGAGGGUAUGGGCUAUCAGUUCUGAAUAUCUAAAAUACGACACAAAGGCAUGACACAGAGCUGAGAGAAGAGUCCUUGGCAACUGUGUUGUCUUUAUAUGUACUUUCAAGUCAUUGUUAUGGUUUCUUUUCGAGUUUGUUCAGCAAACAAAAUACAUUCAGUUUCUUUUACACUUACAGCUUUCUUGAAAGCAAGCUACAGCUGGGUUGCUGUUGACACUGUUUCAGACGGAAGCCAGCCAGGGGCUGGAGAGAUGGCUUAGCAUGCACUGUUCUUUCAGAGGCCCUGAAUUCAGGUCCUAGCUCCAUGCUCACAAAUGCCUGGAACUCUAGUUCCUGAGGAUCUUCUGUCUUGUGGCCUUUACUAGCAACUACACACACACACACACACACACACACACACACACACACACACACACGUAUGCACACAUGCAUGCAUAUGUGCACACACACACUGACAGCAACAACAGUCUCCACACAGUUCUGUGCCCAUGGUUCACUCUGAAUAACCUUUCCCUCUUUGCUCAUGUGAGGAUACUGCUAACAGCUCCUGUGAGAAUCAGACAGGAAACACUCCCUCUUCUGCCCACAUCCUUACAGGCGCGAAAAGAAGUUCCAACUCACAGAGAUGCCCUUAAACUCUAUGUAGUGGUCAAGACAUAAUCUGUGGUCAUGGACAAGAACGGAGGGAAGCCAGGUCCUCAGGGACACCACCUGUGUACACUGCCAGUCUCAAUGCCACCAUGUCCAGUACAGCAGAGAGUACAACAAAAUGCCUCUCAGCAAACUUAUUGGCAACUAUGGACUGGUUUUGGCCUAAGUAAGAAAGAACAGUGCCUAAAGGGAAUAGAGGCAUGCCAUUUUGUAGGAAACCUCACCCAGCCUCCUCGUUUGCCUGGAGGAAGGACCACCAACAAAGGACAGUGACAAUGCUCUUUCUCACCCUUUUCUUCUUUUAUCUCCAUCACACUCUUCUUGGGAUAAUGCAGGAAGUUGAGAGUGCCCAGGCAAGACUGACAUUUCCAAUGCUGAAACAUAGAUCACUUUCAGUGGAUCAUUUCCCAGAAAAAAAUGCAUAUGACAAAAAACUGUAAAUACAGUUUUAGGAAGCUGACUGGCACUUGUGCUGGACAGUUUUAUGUCAACUUGACACAAGCUAGAGUCAUCUGAGAGGAGGGAACCCCAAUUAAGAAAAUAUCUCCAUAGGAUCUGGCUGUAAGGCAUUUUCUUAAUUAAUAUUGAUGGGAGAGGGCCCAGCCCAUGGUGGGUAGUGCCAUCCCUUUGCUUGUGGUCCUGAGCUGUGUAAGAAAGCAGGAUGAGCAAAUCCUGAGGAGCAAGCCAGUAAGCAGCCUCCCUUCAUGGCCUCUGCAUCAGCCCCUGCCUCCAGAUUCCUGUCCUGCUUGAGUUCCUGUCCUGACUUCCUUCAGUAAUGGACAGUGAUGUGGAAGUGUAAGCCAAAUAAGCCCUUCCCUCCCCAACUUGGACUUAGUCAUGGUGUUUCAUUAGAGCAAUAGUAACCCCAAGGCAACACUCUAAUCCGAUUGAAGAGUCUUUCUGGAAGAAUGAAGAGAAAUAAAUCAAGGAGGGGUUACUGAUUAGCCAUGUUCUUUCUGCAAGACUAAAAUGAGAAAGUGGGGUGUAUCCAGUUUCUUGAUGAUGAUAUAAGAUUGUUGUGCCUUGAACAACACGCAUUAAUGAUUUUAUAAUGCUGGGAGUUGGAACCUGAUAUGGUUCAGUGGGGCUGUCUUCUUUCUGGAGGGUAUAGGGAAGAAUUUUUUCCUUUGUCUCUUCAGCUUUUAGAAGCUUCUCAUGUUCUUUAAUCAUUCUCAUCUCCACCUUCAUCACGCCUCCUCCUUGUCUUUCUCUGACCCCCUUGUUUCCCUUGGAUAAGGACUCCAGAAAUGACACUGUACACACAUGGAUGGUCCAAGAUCUCAGACUCCUUACUACCCACCUCUGCAAGUUCCUUUGGUCCUGUAAGUCACCAUGUUCACUUUGUUUGAGAAUAAGAAGAGAGUGUCUGUUAUUGCUCAGAGCUCUCUGAAGGAAAAGAACUGGCAUAAUGAUUAUGAAUUGUUAAAGAGGAUUUAUUAGAUUGGUUUAUUUAGGAAUGGAAUCUAAUAGAUCCUACAGACUGUGCCAAUUAUGUUCCAUAUGUUCUGGAGAAUAAUCUAGAGUUGUGUGCUUUCUGUUUUGGAUGAUUGCAUUCAUUAAGUAAUCAUAUAGUCAGAUCAGGUUACAGGGUGGGUAAAGAGUGAGUAGCAGAUAGAAACCACGAGACAGAGAACAUCUCAAACCAGGUGCUCACACAUGCAGCAGAGGUGACUGGAGUGGCCCAACUGAGUGAGCAGGCAAAGGUACCAUCUAACCAGGACAGGGGUACAAAUGUCCAGCAGAAAUCCCCUGGGGAAGCUUCACUGAGGCAUCAAUAGAGUGCCUACUGCCACCUUCCCCCUUCACCCCCAGUGAUGCUUUCAAGGGAAAGAACAAAGGGCAAUAGAUAGAUGACAUCAUCAAAUCAGGCCCUCACGACAUGCAGCAGAAACCAACCAGAGUAGUCUAGUCCAUCAGCUAAGGUUCCCAGUUGAGAUUUAUUUCCAUGAAUGAGAGUCCCCGGCUGAAAUUCCCGGUUUCCACUCCACCACACGAAUUCUUACAUUAUGGAAUAAAAAUCAUCAUCUAGAUUGGAAAUCGUUCACCUUCUAAUUGUUCUCAGGGCCACAUAAUUUUAAUACUCUUAGGGGUUUGCUGUUUUCCCUUCUUCUUAUUACCAAGUUAGGGGGACAGCCUGCCUUUAGGCAGAGGCAAGGGAGGGCCUCUUUACUCCUCAAAUCCACUUUCAACGAGCUCAAACAGCAUAUGGUUAUUUACCAGUGUAAUGUGCCUAAUCCAGAGAAGAGACAAGACUUCAAAGCAGAGAAGCUGACUGAAAUAAUGGGAGUGGCCCCAUGAUUGACACAUUUGUUGCAGAAUAUUUCUUUACACUGUGUGAAGAUGUGUCACUGUGACUGGCUUGAUAAAGAGCUGAAUGGCUAGGCCGGAAGAGGUUAGGUGGGGCUUCUGGGGACAGAGAGGCUUCUGGGAAGAAGAAGAAAAGUGGAGUUGCUAGCCAGACAUGGAGGGGAAGCAGGAAGUGCAAGAUGGAAAAGAGAUAAUGCCGUAUGGCAGGAGGUAGAUUUAUGUAAAUGGGUUAAUUUAAGUCAUAAGAGCUGGUGGCACCAGCCUAAGCUAAUGGCCAAGCUUUUAUAAUUCAUAAGAAAUCUUCUUGUGGUUAUUUGUGAGCUGGUGACUGAUGAAAAGAAAACAUUCUAGACACAUCUUCCAAACUUCUCUGUCUACAGAAGAGUAGUUGAAUGUGAGGCAAGUGUUGGCAAAGGUAAGAAAGUGUGCCUCUGUGCUUGAGAAGAGAUGGAGUUGGCAAAGGUAAGAAAGUGUGUCUCUGCAUUUGAGAAGAGAGUAACUCUUUCAACCCCAGAGGGAAAGUCCAAGUGGGCUCACUGUAUCUACAAUAUAACUGUUAAGACUGGGUAAUUGACAACUUCAAAUGGUAACAGGGAUGGAAUUGGUAAGAUUAAAGAGAUGCUCAAGCAAAUGGAGCCUGUCUUCCAACCAAAGUAUAUCCAGGGCUGGAGAGAUGGCUCAGUGCUUAAGGUGGUAUAGUUCUCCUGACAAGGGCCGUACUUCUGAAGAGUUCCAAGCACCCAUAUUGGGCCACUCCCAACUGCCUAAUUCCAGAUCCAGGGGAUCUGAUGCCCUCUUCUGGCCCCACAGGCAUCUGUAUGCACCCAUACAUUCAGUUUUUAAAUUUUACAUCAUUCUCUCCUCAAUGUUCUGGAUACAUACAAACCAUUUAAAAUUCUAAAUCAUUCAGAUCUCCUUACCUAUCCUGUUUAAUGAAAGUAUCCACACAGGUAUAUAAACCAUUAGCAAAACAAAUGAAUAUGAAUCAUCAUGCAUUAGGACUUUACAUUUCUUUAAACUUUUGUAGAUUUCACAGACUGCUAAGAAGCUAUAUUCUUAACAAAACUCACGCUGGGUAUGCCAUUUCAAUAUGAACUCAAUAUCUGAGGCAAAGGAAAUUAAAUCAGCACUUGAGUUGUUGUUUUCUUUUUUGAUCUACACCAGACUGGUGCGUCUGGAUCCUGCGAUCAAGAUAGAAUGUCAUUAUCCUGGUUUUUUAGUCUGUGACCUGUCAGAGCGGACGCUGGGGUUUGAAUGGAAGGCAGCACAUGCUUCUGAGAUACCUAAUUGUGGCAACACAAAAAUGUUGAAUAAGCUUCGAAUUGAAAAUGUUGUCAGUUCUCUGCCUAAGCCUUCAGUGUAGAAAAAAAAAAAAAAACGGGCAGAAAAUAGAUGGUCGGGCAAAGGCUGUUGUUUCUCUGGUGUUCUCAGAAGGCAGUUUGCUGCUCUUGGCUUUGCCUUGCUGCUGGUUCUGAACUGAGGCUGGCAAGCAGACAAACAGCACAUGACACACACACUCACAAUCACACGUAUACACUCACAGACACACACACACACUCACAGAGACACACACUCUCACACACAUUCACAGACACCACACUCACACACACAGACACACACACACAUUCACAGACACCACACACACACACACACACACACACACACACACACUCACUCACACAUUCACAGACACCACACUCUCUCUCUCUCUCUCUCUCUCUCUCACAUACACAUGCGCACGCACACGCGUGCACACGUGCACACACGCUCCAUGCUCAGCUCCACAUGUUGCUAUAGCUUUGCACUGGCGUACUGUUGGUCUGCUCUCCUCUCUCCCCUUUAAAUGGAAAGCCCUCCAGGGGAGUUUUGUGUACUAUAAACAAGAUCUCUGUAGGAUCAGAUAAUAGGGUCUGCGUGAAUGCAAUGCAAAGUGGGAAGGGAGCAUCGAGCCAGCAUGCUAAUGCUGAUGGGAAAUUAUUCAACAGAGACUCGUAUUGACAGAGGCUCAUAAUAAUAAAACGCCACUCUCAACUGCCAUUUUCUCCAAAGAUUUAAGCCAAAACUGACAUAAUUCUCAAGAAGUCAUGUCUAGACACAGACCUUAAUGUGUCUCUCCCACAAAAUCUGAACUUGUUUGAAUGCAGCAUUGAGGUGAAGAAUGGGGAUAUGAUUAAGGCUGAUUUUAUUUGGGUAAUCAAGGAAGGCCUCACUUGAAAAGGAGUCUCCUUAAAAAUGAAAAAUUGAGUGGCGGAGAGAGCUCAGAAGGACCUAAGUUCAAACCCCAGAGCCCAUAUAAAUAAAACAAAUGUGGCGGCACAUUUUUAUAAUCCCAGCAUUGAGGUAGCAGGGACAGGAAGAACCCUGGGGCUUACUGACCACCCAGCCAAGCCUACCAGGCAGCCCCAGACCACUGAGAGACUUUGUCUUAUAAAACAAAGUGGCAGCUCCUGAGAAACAGCCAAGGUUGGCCUCUAAACUCCAUAUCCACUUCUCCACACAUGGACAUGGAUGCACCCAUAUAAAAAAAGAAGACUGGACACUGCCUAGAUAUCAACUUAACAGCCACAGGAAGAUGCUGUUCUCAGUGUCUACGGGAUGAUAGAACGAGGCUGCUGCAUCAUGAAAUCCCAUAUAUGUCACAAUGUUGAUUCUACGUGUUCUUUCCCUUAUUAAUCAGAGGUAGAUGUGCGUGUGUGUGUGUGUGUGUGUGUGUGUGUGUGUGUGUGUGUGUGUGUGUGUGUAUCUGAGGCUGAUAAAACCCAAGCUCCACUGUCAGUGGGCUGGCUGAACCAGAAGGCCCAUAGUUCCAGUUUGAGUCUGAAGACAGGAAGAUAAAGAAUGAUAUCUCAGCUCCACAGUGGAUGGCUGAAGUUGUUCCUACAUAUUCACAACAGGGUCAACCUUUUAUAUUGUUAAUUGGUUGGCCGAUGUCAACCCAUAUCAGGAAGGACUUCAGUACAGCUAUUGAUACCUUCAUAGACACAGGCAACGCUUUCACAAGUGCCUGAGAACAGACAAACUGAUAUAUGGAAUUAGCUAUUGCACUUUCUGUUACACAGCCUUGCAAAGACUCUUCCAUCAAUCUAUAUGAUGAGUGCCUAUGAUGUGCUAAAUUUUAGACUAGGUAUUAGAAACACCAAAAGCAGACAAACAAACAAGUGAACUCUACUCUGUCAAGAAACCAUGAGACCAGAGCCCUGCACAACUGCCUCUCUAUAAAACUAGUUAAAAAUGGUUUUAAAAGCAAAAACAAAACAAAACUACUUUUAUGUCUUUUUUUUUUCAAAAAGUGGUUCUAAAUGCAUUUUGAAAGUAAAGGAUUCCAGAAGAGCUACAAAACUGGGUUAGGACAAUGAGAACCUGUGGUACUUGAACUAACAGCCAUUCUUUCUUCUCCCUUCCAAAUGCAGUGAGAUGAAAACUAUACUCCAGGCAAGUAGAGUCAAGACACCAUGCCCUCUUUCAUAGUGCUCCCACUCACCAGUUAUGGCAGUGGGUACCACUGCAUAACUACUCUUCUACAACAAGAUGCCUUGUGUCAUGGAUGGCAAUGUUCGAGAAACCCUACUGGGGCAACCAAGGGAUGAAGAAAUGGCACACUGAAGAAGCCACACACCCAGAAGCUGGGACCAGGUGGGCCAUGCUUACCCUCAGAGAGGGCACCUACUCUGCAGCCUGGAAACUCUGUGUGUUCCAUAGGUACAGCAUAUGAAGGAGGGGUUAGCCCGUCUCUGUGGGAGGUCUCUGUCGGAGAGCAGUCACAUCCAGGAGGUGGAAGCUGCAGGUGAUAGUUUCUGAACUCACUGAGUUCAGUGGAAGGAUGACCAUUCAUAUAAACACCAAUAUUGGAAGCAGAGAAAGGGUUUGCUGUUUCUCUGAUCCUCACCACCCUGGGAAGGCAUUGUCGUUUCUAUAGAAUCUGGGGCAUUAGGGUCCUUAACAUGGCUGUACCUUUGUCAACAAUACACAUUCACUCAGGACUUCAUCCACUCCCAUGAAAUACCUGAUGAAUGGCACUUAAAGAAGACAGAGUUUAUUAAGGCCCACCAUUUGAGGUUCAGUGAUGGUGACAGAAGCCUGCAGCGGCUGCUCAUAUUGCAUCCACAGUCAUGCAGCAGAGAGAGCCUUUCUUUAUACUCAGUUCCAAGAGCCCAAGCCAAACACCUUCUAAAGGAAUUGAUGUCAUUAAGGAGCAACUGUGAAGCUCAAACCUAAGGACAGUAGCAAGAGGCUGGUGAUAGAAGACAUCAAGGAAGAGGUCAUCAGGUUCAUCUGCGGUAAAGAUGCGAUCACAUGCUGGCUAACCUGCAGGAGAGAACCAGAGAGAGAUAGUAAUGGGUUGUGAGGAGCCUUCAUUAAGGAGGGAAGUUUCUCCCUCAAUGGAAAUGACUAGAAACUGUGAAAAGACACAGUUUGAAUCGAAGGCCCCCUGCCAAUAGGAUGACCCAGUUAAGAACCAAAACAAAGAACAGAUAAACCAGGGGAAUACAUGGCCCCCCACCACCCCUCCUUCCAGUGUCUGCAGGCGAGGAUGUCUCAGCUCAAGAAGAAUCUCCAUCUCAACUUGGUGGGGCAGUGGCAGAUCUGUCACAUCUAAUGACUUUUUUAAUGUAUUUUUAUUUCUUUGAGGAUUUCAUACAUGUAUACGAUCAUAUCUGCCUCCCAUUCCAUCAUCUAACUCCUCUCAAGCCCCCACCGCCCCCACGUAAUCCCUUGCCAGCUUCAUGUCCUUUAUUUUUAACCCACUGAGUCCAAUCCACACUGCUUGUGUAUGUGUGAGCAUGGGGCCACUCACUGGAACACAGACAACCUACCAGGAGUCACAGCCCUGAAGAACACUGACACUCCCAAUAGUUCCACAGCUAAGGGCAGGAUAAAUUCAGUAUUUCAUCCAUCAUUUCCAUUUCCCUUUCAAUUUGAUUUUCCUUCCAGUAUUUUUAUCUUAAUAUCUGCCAGCCUGUCAACGCUUAGCCCCGUGUUUCAGGCUAUUUCUUCUCUAGAAUGCACCAUAAAGGGCUUUCUCUGUGUAGUCACAGGUGCUGGGGAUAAUGUGUCUGCCUGGGAAAUAUGUUCCUUUGUGUCAUCAAAUAAUGCUUUGUAUUUCUCAGUGGGAUCACAUCAGCUCCCCCCCCACACACACACACUUAAGUUCUAGCACUCAAUACCUCACUAUUUUGUUCUUACUUUAAAUGUGGCAAAACAGAAGCACCUGCAGGUUGUAGAAUUGUAGGGAGCAGAACAACGCCAUUACCAGUCCAAAAUGUUAUUACUAGAAAAGACUUCCAAAAAGCCUGACAGAAUACCAAUGUUCCAGGAAAGCCUGCUUCAUUUGAAACACCAUUUGCUUUGUAAUUCCUUGACAAUAGUAUCCAUUUCUGUGGCUUUGUAACAGAAGAUGGAUACUAUAAUACGCUGGGUCAUGUAAUAUAAUUCUGACAAAUGCUAGAAUAAAAUCAAUACAUGAAAACAUUAGCUUUGCCAUAUUGGUAUGGAACACUAUUUAUGCUAUUUCUGGUUUAAUUAAGGGAAUAAAAGGGCUGCUCUCUAUUUUCAAUCUCCAAGGUUAAGAAAUUCCUUAAAACAUCCUACAGUCUCUUAGUGAUUUUGUACGUUGAAAGAAUAUUUUAUAGUCAUAUUUUAUCCCGUGUCAUUCCUUGAAUGCAACUCUGACAUAAACUUAGUAUGCCUUGCAUAAUUGUAACUGAAGUCAAGAUAUCCCACCAUUAAACUGGAGUUUUGAUUUAUGUCUCUGGAGAAACGAGUAGAUGUUAAGAAAUGUCUUUUAUCAAUCUUUCAGACUCCUUAGGGGGAAAGAUACUAUGAAAAAGAUGAAGGUGAAGAAGGAGGAGGAGUAAGUGGAGGAUGGAGAGAAGGUGGAAGAAGGUGAAGAAACAGGAGGACGCAGCAGAUAUAGAAAAAGAGGGAACACCAUAAAUUGUCCCCCAGGUUUACUUUCCAAAUAGAGUUUUCAGAAACCAUUUCAUGGAUUUUUUUUUUGGUUUUUCAAGACAGGGUUUCUCUGUGUAGCUUUAGAGCCUAUCCUGGCACUUGCUCUGGAGACCAGGCUGGCCCCGAACUCACAGAGAUCCGCCUGCCUCUGCCUCCCGAGUGAUGGGAUCAAAGGCGUGCACCACCAACGCCUGGCCUCAUUUAGAAGGUCAAUUUUCCACAAUAAUACACAUCAGAGACUUUUUCUGAGAAAUAUGGCAGUCAGUGACCAAGUUGGGGCUCAAUGAUUUCCAACUGAGCAGGUAUGAAGAAGGGUUAAGGGAAGGAAGAAAAGAGACAGAAUUUCUUGGGCAUUUUCUUCGUUCUGGGCACACUUUCUGACUAUUUACAUAUACUAUGUAGUUAUCCCUUGGUUUCCAUGGGUGUUAGUUCUAGGGCCUCUCCAUCAAAUACCAAAAUCCCUGGAUGUCCAAGGCCCCAUGAUAAAUUGCUGAGAGCCUGCUAAUCAACUGCCCCCAUCACCCUGUUUUCUUUAAACCAUCUCUAGAAGACUUGCCACAUCCAAUACAGCACAAAUAGCUGUCAUCUGCUUUGGGGGGAGAAUGAUGAAAAUGAGAAGAAAAUACAUACAUAUUCAGUAUAUAAACAAUCUUCUCAGUUAUUUUUAGUCUAUGAGUGUUCAGAUUCAUGGGUGUAAAAUCCAAGGAUAUAGACAAUGGACCAUUGUUUUAUGAGUGUUUGGACUCAUGGGUGCAAAAUCCAAGGAUGUAGACAUAGGACCAGGACCAUUGGUAUAAAAUUGAGGUCCCAAGGCUGAAAAAAAUGCCCUCGAUCAUAUAAUGCACAAGGAAUUCAGUCUAGUUGUGUUCCAUGGUUUGUGUUAUUUCUAACACAUCUGAGUUUGUCUCACAGGAAACCUUUGGUAUGGCCAGCAGAGUAAAGAGCCAUAGAAUUCAAGGGAAAACAUUGCAAGUAGUCUUGCAUCUGGAAGCUGCCCACACGUAGCCACUGAAUCAAACCAGAGUACGCAGUGAUGGACAUUCCUGUGGGCUAAGAUAUGAGACCCCCAUAGACCCUGAGAGGUCCUUUAAGAGCUCUGGAUGCUCUAUUUCACAGAGAUCUCCCUACACUCUGCACCAUUUAGGGAUACGGGAAGGAAAGUCAGUAACUGCAGUCCCCUUGUUGUGACUAAACCAUGUGGUGGGUGAAUUAAUGACAUAUUCUGCACUUUGCUAUUUGGAGCUUUAAAAUUUGGGAAUGGGGAUGGGGAUGAGGGAGGUCUAUACCUGAAUUAGUUUAGUUCUUCAGGUGAAUCACCUUCACAUUUCUUCUACUCAAACCAAGAAACCCUAAUAAUUUUAGUCAGGCCUCAUGCACACAGCAUCCAGACCAGCCAUUAUACUCAGUCCCCAUGCUCAUCCAUCAGUCAUUGUAGCUGCUCUGGACAGAGUAGCCUCAAGGCAUCAGGAACCAUGCCUUAAUGUUCCAUCAGUGGUGACUAGGACAAUGCCUGGCGCAUAAGUGCUAUCUCCAGUCUUGUUGAAUUUCACUUGAUUUCUAACAGCAGUUUGUAAUUGGAAAGGAGCCAUGCAGAUUUCCCAGGGAUAGGUAGAAAAUGAAUAGCACAGACAAGGCUAAAAGCCAAGUGUGGCCCAUCACUUUUCCAUACUGUCUUAAAAUAGAAGUGGGCUCAGUGUCAUUGAGAAUUGUGUCUGUGACUUGUACUCUGGCUUGCUAGUGACUAAGUCAUGAUGAGAUUAGUGGAGCACCUCUGGGGAUGUCUAUGAUGGUGUUUCCAGAGACAAUUAGACUGUGAGGACUAUGAUAUAAUGAACAAUUACUCAUUGCCAUUAUUGGGAGGUGCUGAAAAACAGGGAGGUGGGGUCUAUUUGAAGGCAGUAGGUCACUAGAGGCAUGUCCUUGGGGUCAUGGCUUUCCUCAUCUCUUUCUAUGUCUCCCUUUUCUGCACAUUCUGACAGACUCAUGACCUCUAUCCAUGACAAGCCAAACCCUCUGAAACUGUAGACCAAAAUAAGCCCAUUCUUCCUUUUUAGUUGUCUAGUCAGCUAUUUGGUCCCAGCUACACACAGGUAACUAAUACAAGCCCCAAGAGCAGCACUCUGCAAGAAUUAAGGAAAUGUAUAGACAAGAGGCUUUUAACUUCAAGCGACAGAGAGCCUAUGCCAAGUGGCUUGGAUAGGGAAUGCCAUUAGCUCCCAUAAAUGGAAGUCCAGAGGUACUUUUCUAUGGGGUACUGAAUGCUCAUAUGGUGUCAGGCAAAAAAGCAGGGAACAGGACUGAGACCAAGUUCAGGAUGUCACCUUCAAAGCCAUCUCUGUGACCUACUUCCUCCAACCAGCACCCGGCUAAUGAAGGUUUUAUAGUCCCCCAUGUUUGUGCACCACCUGAGGGACAAGUGUGCAAAUCAUGAACCCAUGGAUGACCUUCUAGACUAAAGCAGAACAGCUGGUGAGGUGCUACACAUGGCAUGUGUCUCUGCCUUUGUUACUUCUCUCAUGGCUGUGAUAAGAUACACUGACAAAAGCGACUUCAGGGAGAAAGGGCUUAUUCUGGCUUGCAGUUCAAGGGUACAGUUCCUCAUGGAGGGGAAGUCAAGGCAGCAGGGGCUUAAAGCAGUUGCUCACAUUGCAUUCACAAUCACAAAACAGAGAACAAGAAACACAUGCUUCUACUUGUCCAGCUUUCCUCUUUUGUGCAGUUUAGGACCCAACCUAGGGCACGGUACUACUGAUGGUGUGCAAGUCUACCCACCUAAAUUAAUGUAACCAAGAUAACAUCCCAUGGACAUACCCAUUUCCCAGGUAAAUUCUUAAUCUCAAGUUGACAACUGAGAUUAACUAUCACAAGUCUCUGGUCUGUCUCAUGUGAGUCCAUGGCUCCACCCUCUUCCCUGUUCUUUUUGCUUAAGCUGCUGGCGAAAAGUAACUGUGGUCCUGGGCCCUCCAUCUGCACUCUAAAGGCCCAAAGCAAGAGAAGCCUAUCUUCUAUUCUUCUAUUCUCUAUUGAAGACAAGGAAACAUCUGGAAUCCCAAGAGGCAUUCCCUUUGGUCUCAUGAGCUUAACUGGAUCAUGAAUGCCUUCAAUGCCCCCAUCUUAAUGAAUGCUGUACAUGAAUGGAAUUACAAUGAUUGUCUCAGACCCAUUAGGGUGCAUACCUGGGGGGUGAGAAUCAGGAUACAUGACAACAGAAGGAUGCUAUAAAUGUUAAAGAGGUGAUCUCAAAAGCCAAAGUAUAUGUAGGGCCAAAGUUUACUUUAUCAGCACAAGUGUUAACGAAGCAGAAAUAUAGUACAUGGAAACACAGGACACCAGUGUUGGGAAAAACUUCAGAGCUCCAGCUCCCACGUGAUGAAUGGUUUCCUCUUGCCAUAUUUAGGAUAGUCAUCUAUCCAUGAAGAGAAACUCUAUUAUACCUGAGAGAACAGUUUAUUAGCAGUUGCCUUCAGCUGGUUUCUUGUCUCCUGUUUCUCCUCCUGACACAGCUUCAGCCCCCUUUCUUACUCCAUCACACCCUCACUCUUUCCUCAGACUCUGUCUUCACCUCCCAAACACCACCACUGUCUCCACAGAGAGACUUGAGCCCAUCCUGAGAACAGCCUGAUGGCUAACCUCACAUCACUUUGCUUUUGCUCUCAUUAUGUGUCUGUUUCAGUUUUCACAGCCAAGAUUUGCCUCUUAUUCUAGCUCCUAACUUCCUAAUGGGAUGCACUGUCUGCCCUUGGUUUCUUCUGGUGUCUACCUAUACCAAAACCCGAAGAUACUCAAGUCUAUUCUACAAAACAGAAUAUAGAAGUACAUCUGAACUCCUGGCCCCAGUGACAUAUUACGUCCAGCAAGACUGUGCCUUCCAGACCUCCCCAAACAGUUCCAGUAACUGAGGACCGAGUGUUCAAAUGUUGGAGACUACAGGGGACAUUUUUAACUCAAACCAUCACAACAAAGGUCUCAUAAAAGAGCUUCUCUGGCUGCUAUAGAUUGCAGAAUGGAACUGUGUCUAUGGCCUGUACCUCUGCUGCCAACAAAGCUGAAAUCACUGGGCCUAGUGGCCAACACACAUAAUUCCAACUAUUUGUCACUCUGAGGCAGAAAGAUGCUAGUUUGAGGCCAGCCUGGGUAUUCCACCAGACUUUGUUUCAAAAUAAGACAGGGAAGGGAUGUACCUCGGUGGUAGACCCUGGAUUCCAUCUUCCAAGAACCACUGCCGGCCAUCUAUGUCUGGUAUGAACCAUCCUCCCUCCCUGCAAGCCAGUUAUUGUUGAGGUAGCAGAAUUCAGAUUAGAGGGAUGUUACGGCAGCAGUUUUAUGAUCAGGAAAACCCAGAAUCUGCCACCUUGUUCUUGUGGCCCAAAUGAUCAGGUACAGCUGAGGCCAAGAGCAAGAAAACUCCACAGCGGCCACAGGGCUUCUGGAGAUUCGAACUCAGGUCCUCACAUUUCCAUGGCAAGUUCUUUAGAUACUGAGCCAUCUCCCCAGCCCCUGUAUCGCAUUUAGUUGUUGGUACAGAAAUAGGAACUGGCUCAAAGAAAGGCAACCCUUCUCUCCCUAGUGAAGCUGGAGUGGAAACCAGAGUAAAACCCCAACUCAGCUGCAGAGGGCAGUUGUGCUCGAUUUUGCAUGAGCCAUCCGUGAAAAAGAAAGAAAAGAACAUGUGUAACGAACAUUUCCUUGGUGGGAAAAAAAAGUAAUAAUUGUAGAUCCUGGCUAGCAAUGUGGAUGGUGUUCAAAUGACUGAAGCAGAUGGAGAUGGCAAAGACGCAGGAAGACUCACUGAAUCUCCCCAGCACACAGCACUGUUGGACAUUCAUGGGGAGCUGGAACCAUGAAAUUCUUGAUUCUAUGUCCCGCCAAGAGACAUGUCAAAAGAGUUCCCAGGAAUGAUGCAGCAUGCCCAUCUAAGGCUUCAGGAUCUCUAGGAAAUGGAGUGUUCUGUCCUAAACGAAACAAAGACUGAAACCCACAAACAGUGUCAGAGAUGCCAAUAGUGCACAGACUUGGUAUUGGGAUAGCCACUGUGAACUCGAUCGGCUGGGGUAUAGCUCACUUCACAUGAUACGCUACGGACUUGAGCAAUGGUAACAGCAGUAGAACAUGCUCUGCACUGGGCUGAGAAACCGAAUCUCUUGAUGCAUUGCUCUCAGGAUCAUGGGAGAGGCAGUUCGGAACCGUGGUGGGGGGCUAGGUCUAAAGUUAGACAGUGCAUGGGCCAUGGGGACUGAAACAAGUGACUUCAAUCUUUCUAAUUUCAAUUCUUUCUCUACAGAUUGGAAAGAGUAAUAUGGCUGACCUCUGUGAUUUGUGUGCGGAUGAAAAGGGGUGGCGCCCAGCGUGUUGCCUAUUUAGCCAUCACACAAGAAUUGGCUUUAUUAUUUCUAUACUGGCACACCGCUUCACUGAAGUAAUUGCCCAGUCCUGCACUGGCCUGUGUCUGAGUGGACAGUGAGGCAGAUGUCUAAGGACGGCGCCUGCCACUACUCUGCAGGAGCAAGGGCAUCAAUCAGACAAGCAAGGCUUCUGAUUUGUCCCUGCUACAUUUCACUUCUCCAGGCUCUUUCCUCCACCCUGCUUGGAGUUUUCCAUGUCAACAGUAGGGGGCAGUGUUCCGGAAACUGGGGCAUCUUCCAGAACCUAAGGAAUAUGCAGAGGCAGAAACUGUCUCUCGAGCGCCUGUGAGCAGGCAGCUUCAACUGAGAACAGUCUGGGCACUGUUUCACAUGAGCUACAUGGAGCAAUUUCCAUUCCCACUUUACAAUGCAAGUUGUUUUCCAAAUGUUUCUAAUCGUCCUUGCGUCUGCAAGAGUGGAACCACAGAUGUGGGGAGUCUGUACUGUAUGAAGCAGUGCUUCGAGGAGCAAGACACAGGCAAAGCACUCAGAAUGACCCCUGGCACUCAGCAGAUGUUCACAAACUGGUUUAACUGAACCUGGAGCUUGCCAAGUCAGCUGGACUGGCUGACCACCAACCCAAGGGAUCCUCGUGUCUCAGCCUUCCAAGUACUGGGAUUACAUGCAUAUCAUCACAUCUGGCAUUUAAAGUUGGUCCUGGGGAUCCAAACGUGGGUCUUUUGUGGCAGGUGAUUUACCCACUGAGCCAUCUCACCAGGCCUGCACUGGAUAUUUUAAAAUCCUCACCAAGCAAAGCUGACAACAGGAGGGUAGAGAACCAGACACUGGCUGCUUGCUUUGGGAAUGAGCACCAGGAGAGAAAAAGCCUAGAUUCAGAGAACAGAAAGAACAAGAUGGCCAAACCCAAACCUGUGCUUCUUUGCCAAGUGCCUUGACCUGUGCAGGGUAGAAGAAGGCGCUACAGUGCACCAUCCUGGGGCCAAGGAAAAACUGAC
Molecule: long non-coding RNA, 52787 nt
Filed under: Cricetulus griseus (Chinese hamster)
Lineage: Eukaryota; Metazoa; Chordata; Mammalia; Rodentia; Cricetidae
Description: lncRNA (ENSCGRG00015037653.1)
Source: RNAcentral